This 53972-nucleotide long non-coding RNA is filed under the name Zostera marina. RNAcentral describes it as "long non-coding RNA (ZMAR_LNC005801)". The record is from RNAcentral. Lineage: Eukaryota; Viridiplantae; Streptophyta; Magnoliopsida; Alismatales; Zosteraceae.
AGAAGCAUCUCAAGAUUGUAGCCAUUGGUGUUUGCCAGGUCUUCCAGAUACAUGGAAUCAACUGCUUUAUGCAUCUCUAUUAGUGAAUGCCAAAGGUUCCUGAAAAGAUUAAUCUUGCAUUAUUAUCCUCUUGACUGAAACUUUUGCCAUCGAAACAAAAGAAGACCAGAUAUAUUUUACAAAAUUUCGAAUGUUCUUAACUAGCAAAAUAGUUUGUAUUUUGUUAAUAUAAAGUAGUAGUUGAUUUGUUGCAUUGAUAACAUUGUUAUAUCACCUGUUAAAUCGUAGUCAAAAUUUAAUUAAAAUCAGUAGCGAGACUGUCUUUCACUGAUACUUUUCUGAUUCACGCCAGGUCCGGCCAGAUUCACCAAUGAUGGUAAGUUUCCCCGUACCCGAUAGGCCGAUACCUGCCCUGUACCCGGAUGGUCGGGUACGAGGACGAAAAUGAUUUUUCUAUCCGAAGUAGGAAAAUCCCCGUUCCUGGCCGAAAUUCUCGGCCAUUUCCAGGUAUAGGGAUGGGGAUUGAAAUCCCCACCCUGAAUAAUACUCGCACACCUAAGGUAAAUUAUAUUUAUACCUUAUAUAAUAUUUUAUAUAGUAUAAUUUAUAUAAAUAACUCUAUAUAAUAUAUUAAAUACAUAAGUUUAUAUUUAAAAUGUACUCAUAAAAAAUUUAUAUUCAACCUCGUACAUUUUAAUAUUUCAUUUAUAUUUAAGUGUCAAAUCCCCAAAGAUCAAAUCCCUAAAUCUAUUUCUUCCCUAAAUCUCAAAACCCUAAAUCACUCCCUAACUAAAUCGAUUCUCCCUUUAUUUCUAUUUCUUCCAUUGGUGAAUUCAACUCAUUCAAAGUAAGGAUCGAUUCAAAAGGUAAAUAUUUAUUUUUAUUUCUAUUUCUAAGAAUGAAUUAGAAUCUCUUGCUUUUUUAUAUCUUGAGUUGUUGUUUUCUCAUUUCCGUUCUGUCAUUUUCUUUCUGUCGCAAGAAAACUAUUUUAGAUUUAACAAAUAAAACAUACCGUCAACUUCAUGUCGCCAUCCCAGUGUUGGUUUAAUAUUGAAACGAUUAGGAGGUGGAUCCUGUUAAAAUUCAAAAUUUUGGCCGGGUAUCCCUGUCUCUGUAUCCAAUCAUUGGCCGGGUACGGGGAAGAUUUUUGGGUCCGAGUAUUUCCCCGUACCCGCUCACCCCUAGACAGAUAGCUGGGCCGAUCAGGUUUGUCAGACCAGGUCCUUUUCCUCCUAGGGCUUAAGAAGUUUGAGCUUCCCCAUCUAUAUUACAAAAAAAACUGACUUUUUUGGAGGCUCUUUUUUGAGACUUGACCUGACGUGAAACAGGAAAUAUAGUGUCAGAUAGCUGGGCCGGUUAGGUUUGCCGGAUCAGGUCCUUUUCCUCCUAGGCCUUAAGACGUUUGAGGUCCCCCGUCUAUAUUACAAAAAAAUUGACUUUUUUGGAGGCUCUUUUUUGAGACUUGACCUGGCGUAAAACAGGAAAUAUAGUGAUAGAUAGCUGGGUCCAGUGGCGUAUCCAGGAUUCCCCGGCAGGGGGGGCAAGAUUCGCCGAAGGCGAAAAAUUUUUUUUGCCGAAGAUCUCUCCUAUAUAUAUGUCAAGAUAUUAAAAUAGUGUAGUAGAACUUAAAAUUAAUUCAAGCUCACCGAAUAAAGCUCCAACAAUUUUAGUCUCGUUCAUCCGUAGUGUGUUUAACAAAUCGAAUCAAGUAAAGCUAAGCUCGGACUCAGCUCGCCAAGUGAGAAUAAGAUUUAGCUCGAAUCCUAUUUUGCAAAACUAAAGAUCGAAGCUUGAUAAACUAACUUGCAAUAUAACAUCAAAAAUCAAUAUUAAACAAUAAUUUUAGAAUACCAAAGAUCAGUGGCGUAUCCAGUUUUUGAAGGACCCAUCAACUGUUUGGGGGUAUGUUAUUGAUCUUGGACUCCUUGUGUACUAGAAACAACUUAUAUAGAAAGCAACGGAGGGAGAAAUCGUGAGGUGGAUGGGUCAUGCGAGUUGGGAGGAGGAGAGAUUGGGGAAGAAAUUGAAGGAGGAGGAGGAGAAAUCGAUAGUUUUGGGGAAGAAGAUUGGGGGAAAGAAAUUUAUAUAAUAUAUAAAUAUUGUGAAAUUUAUAUAUUAACCCUUAAAAAUAUUAAUAUAUUGUGAAAAUUAUACUAAACCCCCUAUAAAAAAUUUAAUUACAUAUAGGUCCUUCAAAAAUUUCCAAAUUUUAGGGGGGGCAAUUGCCCUCCCUUGCCCCCCCUGGAUACGCCACUGCCUCCAAUGAUAUGCCCUUUCAACCGAGCAAUCCCCGCUUUCGAAAUGAAAUGGCAGAAAAGACACUUCACCUUGUUUGAGUCUUUAUUCACCAUAACCCCAUAUUUCCAAGCCGGAUCAUUUGAUUUUGGUCUCAUCAAUGGGCUUGUUUUUUCUUCUUCAGUGGUUAAUGGAUGCCAUUUGAAUUUCUUGUUUCCCUCGUCAUCCAAUUCCACAUUUUCUUCAAAAACAUUCAUUGACUUAUCUUCUCCAUGAUCUAUGGUUUGAAUUUGUUCUUAAGUCUGAAAUUUAAGAAAACAGAUUAAGAUAUUAAUAUGUGAAAUUUAAGGGAAAAAAUUCAGAUGUUAGCUCUGAAUUUCUCAAUUCCCGAUUUAAUUUCAGAUUUAAUCCCCAGUCUGAAAUUCUGAAUAUAAUCGAUGUCAUCUUCAAAUUUAUAUUUCAUCGAUAUAAAUUUAUAUUCAGAAUCUGAUUAUAAAUUUAUAUUCAUCGAUAUAAAUUUGAAUUUCAGAUGACAUCUUCGAUUUAAUUCCCCACUCUGAAUAUAAUCGAUGUCAUCUUCAAAUUUAUAUUUCAUCGAUAUAAAUUUAUAUUCACAAUCUGAUUAUAAAUUUAUAUUCAUCAUUCAUCAAUAUAAAUUUGAAUUUCAGAUGACAUCUUCGAUUUAAUUCCCCACUCUGAAAAUCGAUUAUAAAACCACAUAAUUUCCCAACAGAUUUAAUACCUAACUAUGUGUAGAAAAAUCCAGCAGCGGAAGGCUAGCAGCAGUGCAGCACGAUUCCGACUUUCUUCAGUAGUAGGCGCAGCGCUAGGCGGUUCAGACUUCAGGUGCCCGAUUUCCGUUCAGGUCUUCAGGUGUCCGACUUCAAGUCUUCAAGGAUUCACCGACGAUUUAGGGUUUUUACUUUUUAGUGUUUUUUAUUUAAAUGGAUCUUUUUAAUAAGGUCCUUAAAUUUUAAUAGAAUAAUUCAAUUCAUUUAAAGUUUUUAAAUUUAAUAGGGUUAAUGGAUCGGGUUUAUCCGGAUCCGGCUAAACCCAAUAAUAUGCGACCCCCCAAAUAUGCGAUGGGGGGUUACCGCCUGGCAUAUGCGACAAAUCAAAAAGCUUGGUUUACAUACGAUCACACAAAUACAUCUUGCAACGUUAGCUUGAAAUUUCAUUUCAAUUCUCCUCAAUGUCAGACAAAUGGCAAUACUAUACCUUCCAAAGUUGAUUUUUCGACGUCCUUGAAUCCUGAUGCCCAUGCUAGCACUAUUUUUCAGUCAGAUUUUGUCCAAUGCACCUCUGCUGAGAUUAGGGAAUCAUCUGCCAAUAUGAUCUACGGAACUGCUAAAAUACCAAAUAGUAUGAAUUACCAAUUCAAUUCCCCUCAUUGUCAGACCAAUGUUAAUCCUAUAGCUUCCAAUGUCAAUGUUUCUACUUCCUUGGAUCCUGAUAUCGUACACAACACUUUUUUUGAUUCAGAGUAUGUCCAAUCCGCCUCUGCUGAUAUUAGGGAAUCCUCUGCUCAAAUUCGUGCUAACUCCGCUAAUGUGAGUAGCGGAACUGCUAAAACCCCUGAUAUUCAUUUCAAACGAAAAUCUUCCUCUCCUGGUCAAUAUCCAACAUCUCCUGAUCAUGAAAAUGGAUUUCUAGUUACAGUCAAUCCAAUAAACCAUGUCCUAUUGUAGGUGAGGUUUUUCCUUCGUAUGAAAAUACUGUUCAAUCCUACUACGAUUUCGCAUCCUUUAUCGGAUUUUCUGUUCGUUUAGGAUCGACGAAGAAUAUAUUAGAUAAAGAAAUUGGUCAAAAAAUUCUUGUAAUUAAAAGGUUGUUAUGUUCUAAACAAGGCAGUCCAAUUCUAAUACUUCCACCAACCAACGGUACUAGACGGAAGAAUGGUGUUUCUAAAUGUGGUUGUCUAGCAAGUAUCAAAUUUAAAAGAAUAGGCAGAUCUGAUAAUUGGGUCACUGAUUCGGUAAAUUUUGAUCAUAAUCACACAUUUACGACUCCCUCAAAAAUUCGAUACCUUCCAAUAAAUCGGUCAAUAUCUCAUACCUCCAAAUUACUUUUUUCCUCCCUAGCUGAAGUUAAUGUUCCAGUAUCACAGCAGGCUGCCUAUUUCUCUAAUCAACUUGGUGGACCGCAGAAUAUGGGCUGCAUGACAUUGAACAUUAACAAUAUGGUUCGUGAUGAUCACAUAGAUCUGAAAAAUUAUGACGUCUACUUGAUUGUAGAGGAAUUCGAAAUGAAGAAGUUAGAAAAUAGAGACUUCUUUUAUGAUCUUGUCAAAGAUGAUUGUCGUUUGAAACACUUUUUUUGAGCCGAUCCUACUCUGAUUGAAAAUUAUAAGUUAUUUAGAGACUCCGUUACUUUCGACACGACCUAUAAGACCAAUAUUUAUUCCAUGGUGUUCAGCAUGGUUUGCAGUGUCAACUACCACUGGAAGUAUACAAUAUUCGGUAGUGUAUUUUAAGGUAUUUCGUUUACACAUUGUAAUGAAAAUUCUCAUUUUGUUUCAUCUUUAAUCCUAUAUUUUUGCAUUAAAUCAUAUUCUUUUAUUUCUGUUUACCUGUGCAGUAAUGAAAAAGUAGAUGUCUUUACAUGGUUAUUCAAUACGUUCAGACAAUGUAUGAGACACCCUCCUCAAUCAAUUAUUAUUGAUCAAGAUUUGACGAUGAAAGGUGCAAUAUCUCGUGCUUUUCCUGAAUCUUUUCAUCGUUUGUGUCGUUGGCCCAUAACCAACAAGUUGUUUACCAAGGUCCCCACAGUAUGCCAGAAUAUCAAUUCUCUAAACAUGUUCUACAAAAUUAUUAAAUUUUCAGAGACUCCUAAAGAUUUUGAAGACUCAUGGUCUCUUUGGAUCACAGAGAAUAAUGUAUCUUCUAAUGUAUGGUUGAAAAGUUUAUACGACAUCCGUUAUUCAUGGGUCACAUGUUUGAUGUGUUCUCAUUUCUUUGCUGGAAUGCAUUCUACUCAACGGAGCGAAGGCAUGAAUUCUUUCUUUAAAACCAAAGUGACAGUCAAGAACAUACUGUUUAGCUUCGUUCGCCGAUACCAAAAAUAUGAUAAAUACCAUUCGUGAGUUCGAGAAUUUGGACGAUCACAAAGAUACAUUUUGACACCCAAGAUUUAUUACAUCUAUGGACAUUGAGAAAGACGCUCUGAGUUUCUUUACAACUGCUAUUUUCCUUCUUUUCAAAAGGAGAUGCGGAAAAACUUCUUCUACCAUAUAUUACCACCGAAUGAUCAAUCCUCCGAGGUACGUCAUCCUAUUUUGUCUAUCAUUGUUCCAAAAUUUCAAUUUCUUCCCAACAAUGUCUUUCUAAAUAUUUUCUUCUUCAUUCCUAUAGGAUACUCAAUAUCUACCUGUUCUUUCUUUAGAAAGAAUGACUAUGUUAUUCAAACUCACUAUUACGAAAGGUAAUUCUACACCGACUUGCUCAUGCCAUAGAUUUGAAUAUAGCGAGGUUCCAUGCUCUCAUGUUAUACAUUAUCUUAUUGUCAACGGUUACCGAAGUUUACCAAACGUUCUAAAAAUGCCUAGGUGGAACAAACUAUGUCUGACUGACCGAAUUGCUCCAUUUCUUCCACAACCUGACAAUCUAUUGUCUAAGUAUGCAGUAAUGUCGCAGACAAUAAUGAAUUAUGCGAAGAUGGGACAAUCUCAACUUGAUAUACUACUGAAAUUAUGGUGAAGAGGUUCUUCAGAAACUCAGCGAAAUUGUAGUUAUUCUUAAUUCAUAUUCUAGAACAUCAAUCACAAGAACUAAGAAACCUAGGAAUACACCAGUGUUGAUUGGUCCUCCGGCGAAGGUUAAAACUAAGGGUAGUGGUAAGAGCGGAAGACCGACAAAAAUUGAUGCAGCGCGAAUGAAAAGCGCAAAAGAAAUAUAUCGCGAUCCAACAGCUAGGAAGAAAUGAUCUGUCUUUUCUCCUGUUUUGUCAUAAACAAUUUAUUUUAUGAGCUAGAAACAUUCCAAUUUUAAUCACGUACGUCGUUACUCCUUUUUGGAACUCACAUAAUAUCUGUUGUUCUUCUGCUAAUAUCUAAUGUUACUUAGAUAAUAGAUAUUGUGUUUCUGCUAAUAUAUGUAGUUUUUCUAUUAUGACUUUCUCAACUGAUAUUGUUUAGUGUCCAUCUGCUAUUACGGUGUUACGUUAUUAUGUAGUUUCCCUCUGCUAUUACGGUGUUACGUUAUUAUGUAGUAUGCCUCUGCUAUUACGCUACUUUGUAGUAUGUCUCCGCUAUUACGGUAUUACGCUACUAUGUAGUAUCCCUCUGCUAUUACGGUGUUACGCUACUUUGUAGUAUAUUUUCGUUAUUACGGCGUUACGCUACUAUGUAGUAUGCAUAUGCUAUUAUGUUGUUACGCUACUAUGUAGUAUGCCUCCGCUAUUAUAAUGUUACGCUACUAUGUAUUAUGCCUCUCCUAUUACCUUGUUAUGCUACUAUGUAGUAUGUCUCUGCUAUUACCUUGUUAUGCUACUAUGUAGUAUGUCUCUGCUAUUACGGUGUUACGUUACUUUGUAGUAUGCCUCCGUUAUUACGGUGGUACGCUACUUUGUAGUAUGCCUCCGCUAUUACGGUGGUACGCUACUUUGUAGUAUGCCUCCGCUGUUUCGGUGUUACGCUACUAUGUAGUAUGCCACUGCUAUUACGGUGUUACGCGACUAUGUAGUAUGCCUCCGUUAUUACGGUGUUACGCUACUAUGUAGUAUGCCUCCGUUAUUACGGUGUUACGCUACUAUGUAGUAUGCCACUGCUAUUACGGUGUUACGCGACUAUGUAGUAUGCCUCCGUUAUUACGGUGUUACGCUACUAUGUAGUAUGCCUCUGCUAUUACGGUGUUACGCUACUCUGUAGUAUGCUUUCGCUAUUAGGGUGUUACUACUUUGUAGUUUUCUUUUACCCAGCUAAUAGAUAUUUGUGAGCCCGAAACAUUCAUAUUUUAAUCAUGUACGUCGUUAGUCCUUUUUGGAACUUCCAUAAUAUCUGUUGUCUCUCUGCUAAUAUCUAAUGUUACCUAGCUAAUAGAUAUUGUGCUUCUGAUAAUAUACAGUUAUGCUAUUAUGACUUUUUCAACUGAUAUUGUUUAGUGUGCAUCUACUAUUAUGUUGUUACGUUACUAUGUAGUGUGUAUCUGCUAUUACGGUGUUACGCUACUAUGUAGUAUACCUCUGUUAUUACGGUCUUACGCUACUUUGUAGUAUGUCUCUACUAUUACGGUGUAGUAUUCCUCCGUUAUUAUGGUGUUUACGCUACUAUUUAGUAUUCCUCUGCUAUUAUGUUGUUUUACCUAUUUUAUAGUGUGCAUCUGCUUUUAUUGUCUAUUAUACUUCCGUUAUUAUGUAAUGUGUUUCUGCUAAUAUCUGCACCUAGUCCAACAUGCUUUUAUGUUUCUGCCAAUAUUUUAUGUUUCACAAUCAUUCCUUCGACACAUCUAUCACUAGCACUGUAUAAACAAACAAUAUCUGUAAUUUUGCAAAAAGUAACUGAGUACUUAGACUAAUAAUGUGAAGUAAUAUGAAAUUUUUGCACUUUAAUUGUACUUGAAACUGUAAUUGUUAAAUAUAUGAGAGUCUCGUAACGCCACUCGCAGUAUGUCGUGGACAAUUUUCUCCCUUAUGUUGUCAACGUCUUUCUUGCUCCAAAGUACUGGUUUGUCAAGACAUAUGCAUUCAAUGACAGCCAUUACGUAUAUCCCUGUAUCUUCAGAAUUUUUAAGGAAUGUCUGCGGAAAAUAAGGAGCUGAUUCACAAACCAAGGUGGACAAGUUGUGGUCCAACCAUAGAGACUGCAAAAUAAAUUACAAAGUAGGAUUAAAUUCUUAUUAACAUUAUGCAAAAACAGAAAUUAUUAUCAAUAUAUACCAUUAGGCACAUGACACAACCAUCUAUGUAGAGUUUGGAUGACUCAUUUGUUCAUUUCCGGUGUAGGACGCUGUCCCUGCACUUCUCCAUACGUUCGAAAAGCACACCGUGUAGGAAUUCAGCCCAAUUAUACUCGUCAAAAUAUCCUAUGUUAGAAAUGUAAUCGAGAAAUUUCCGCCCGAUACGGUCACUGUUUUUGCAACAAAGUACUGUAAUAAAUAAAUAGAUUAUCCACAAUCUAAUUAAAUCAUCCUCAUCAGUCUUUGAUAAGGAUUCAUUCUCAACCUUCUUGUUGAUUGCUGUAAUGGCCUGGACCACCACAUCCCUUCUAAUGUCGCAAUCCGAACUAAAAUGCCUCAGGGAUCAAUCUGAAGUACUCUUGGCCUUCUUCUUCAUUAUCACAGCAAGGCCAGAUGAUGGAAUGCCGAGGAUUUCACCAAAUCUUUCACAGAAAAUUUUAACUUAUUACCGUUAAUAACAAAAAUGUUUUUUCCCACAUACCUGCCUAUCAGAUCGUCUAGUAGACGAGCCCUGAUUUUAAAUUCAGGGAUAGCAAAGAACUGACCAAAACAACAAGACUUUAUUCUUUUCGUCACAGUAUCGGAGAACUGUAUACAUCCGGUGAGCGCAACCUCUUUAUAAGUUGGUAUUUCAGAUCGGUGAUGAAUCAAGUGGUUGACUAUAUUUCCAAAAUUAAAAUGAAUGAACAAGUAACAAAUAAUAAUAUGACAUUUAAAAAAAAUUAAUGCUUAACUGUUCGUCUCCUCACGCUCGCAAUUGCCAGUCCUUGCUUUCUUCUUCUUCCUGACUUGUGGUCUUUCAUCAGAAGAGGAAGGUAUUUUAUCAUAUACAUGACCCUUUUUAGCAGACACAGAACAUUUAUUCUUCCUAGCUAAGGUUUCCUUUUCUCUGCAUAAGUCAGUUCUAAUCCUUCCCUUCUUCUUUUUGGGUACUUCUCUUUCAUCAGAAGUUUCAGACAAUUUAUCAGAAGAAGAAUCUUUUUUAGCAGAACAUUUACUUUUCUUCAGCUUCGCAGAACAUUCCUUUACAUUACGGUACUCAGUAGGAAUUUUAGCAGAGUCUUCUUGUUCUUCUUCCUCUUCAUCAAGCUUUUCAACUACCGUCACUUUCUUUUUCCUCACUGCCUUUGUCUUCCUUUUCAUCCUUGGUGGGGACUUCACGACAUCACCAGGACAUUUUUUUGCGUUUAAUCUCCUUCGAUCGUCCGCCAUCACCUUUCUUAGUGUAAAUUCGAAGUCCAUCUCCUUAUAUUUCUUCGUAGAUUUCUCUGGAAUUUUACCUAAAAAGAUAAAAAUAUUACGAUUAUCAUACUUAGCAACCACCAUACACAUAUUCCAAAAUAUGAAACAGUUACUUACUCCGCUUCUUCUUUGAUAGAAUGAACUGAUUGACAUCCGAUGAAGAAUCCCUCUCUGAUCUCGACAGAUUACAGUCGAUAUCUUCGAUUAAACUCUCUACAACGAAAUUAACACGCUUGACAUCUCGCACUGCAUUUUUGAAAAAUAUAGAGCACAAUAUUGACGACAUAACUAUUAAUACGCACAACAAUUGAUUAUACAUUUAAAUUUCAAAUCAAACAUUACCUGUUGAUUAAUUCUCUUUCAUUUCUUCUUCCUCACUAGAAGUCAUUAUCACAACUACAUAAUAUUUUAGCAGAACCAAAACAUUAUCAGUAAAUACAUUCAAAUUAACAGAAGUAUUUCUUUAAUUACCAUUACAAUAAAACACACAUACAUAUGUAUAAAAAUCAAUUACAAAACUAGUACGAAUAAUUUUAGCAGAAAAUGAAAUCAAAAUAACGAAGAAGUGACUGUUCUUGAAGUUACUGCUGUUGAAAAAAAGAAGAACAGAGCAAUAAUUAAAUCAAAUACCUAAAAAAUUACUAAGGAGAAAUUAAGACAAUAGAAAAAAAACAGAUGCAACAAGACUAAAACAUAGAAAAUACAAAUACCAUUUAAACUAGAGAAUUCGGAAACUACAAAUACUACAAAGAAAUCAUACACAGGACAUCCAAAAAUAACCACAUAUACAUAGGAUCUAACACUAGCAUACAAUUGAUAUAUUUUUAGGGAACCCAAUGAGGCAACGAUUAAAGGAAAUAAGAAAGAAAACAUUUAUUCACUAUUCAAAACAAGAUGAAACAACAACAAAAAAAAGAAAGUUCUUGAGUUAAAAAAUUCUCUGUCAAGGCAAUAUACGAUUAUUUAAAAUGGGUUCAUCUAUAUAUAGAUGAACAACCGCCUAGGGUUAUGAAAGAACUAGUCUCCUAGGAGUAGCAACUGCCUCUAACAUUAAAAAAAUUGUUUCUUAAAGAAUAUAUCGGUUCUAAAAAAAAAAGGGUUACUCUAUUUAAAAAAAAAAAAAGAGUUGAUCUACUUUCUCUCAUCGCUAUGUUUAUGCGGGUGUCACCCUAUCGUUUGGAGGAACGAAAGAGAGGGGGCGAAAAUGAAAAAGGGUUACUCUGUGGUUGGAUUAAACCCUACCUGGAGGCUUCCGGCAAGCGUUAUCGUGGUUUCCUUUCAAUCGCCAAUGUAUGGACGAAAACGGAGAAGAGCUACCGCCGACGAGAUAGCGCACAACGGAUGACGUUAGUUGGAAAUCUGAAUGAAGAGUGGCUUUGUGAACGAGGUAGGGUUUAGAGGUUGUUUUGGAAGGAGAGCGAAAAUGGGUUAAAUUUUUUUGGAAUUGUAGGAUUUUUGUUUUUAGCUAAUCCAAAACAGUAGCACAGAUAUUAGGAAGAUAUCGGUGUACAGUAGUACUGUGCUAGGUUUUUCGUUUUUAAUUAGUAGCAACUGGUUCCCAGGUUACUGGUCCAAAAAAAUCGACGGCCCAGGGAACUAGAAGAAAACGGACCGCUAUGAUCGUGAGGGGUUCUUAUAAAAAAAUGACAAAAACACAGAAAUAAAACUUGCGAGACAGAUUUUAAAGUAAGUCAACAAGUCAAAACAAACCUAGAAUAUAUAAAAUCAUUUGGAGGGGAUAAAGCAAAAUAUCACAUGUGGGAGGGUAAUAGGCAUAAAUCACACGUUGGCCGCUCAUCUCAUUUUAAAAAACUACACAAUGGCAUGCACGUGGGAUGGGAAAUUAAAUUAAACCAGUGUAACUUAAAAUGGCUAAGCCCUAGCCUUGAUAUCAAUGAAACUAGUCAACACAGCCGAUCACCCAAGGCACAAUCUGGCCUUGGGUUAACAAAUUAGUUAGACAAUUGGGUAAAUUUAGCAUGCCCAGUUGCCCCCAACAUAAAUACUAUAAUGGAAGAAAAGCAUACACUGGUGGGGUUGGGAAUUUUGCAUGUGCUCUUAUAUAUGAUAAAAAUAAAAUAAAAAUACUAAAAAUAGGAAUCUUGCAUGUGAUAUAAACCUCAUAAUUAAAAAUAAGAAAGCAAUCUUAAUAUACACCCAAGUGGGUGGGAAAAGCCAAAGAUACCAAAAUGGAUAUUGGGCUAGUCACACCUUUAAGUUAUUGACCAACUAUGAAUUUGGCCAAGGCCAAAUUUAUAGAAUCGAACUAGCCCCAAUCUGGCAAAUAGGACAAUUCCAACUUAGGAUGAGAAAGACAACCCCCAAGUCAAACAAGGGUCAAAAUGAUCAAGUUGGUCAACUUAGUCAAUUUGGUCAAACCAUAGAGCAAAGUUGGUCAAAACCGUGCAAUCUUGACCAAAGGCGAACUCGGUUAACCCCUAGUUCUGAUCAAGAGCGGCCAAACCGCCUCAAUUGUGAAAUUGAAAUUGGUCAAACCACCAGAAUUUUGACCAAUUAGGUAUUGUAGUAAAAUUAUUAAAUCAAAUAAGAAUGUCGUUUGGGAGUUGGAACGUCUAUGGAUUAAACAAUCGUGUGAGAAAAGACGAGGUCAAGAGGUUUGUCAAAAAAUUCAAGUUGGAUCUAUUUGGUCUAUACGAUACUAAAAUAAACAAGAUCAACUUCGCACAUUGUAGUAAGAUUUUUGGACAAAAUUUCUUGGUGAUAUCAAACAAGGCCGAAAUAGACAUACGAUCAGACUCUAUCUGGUUGGUAUGGGAUGUGAACAUGUGGGAGAUUGAGAGCACCAUCUUGCACAAUCACUUCAUACACUGUUUUGCCAAAAACAAAAAUGGGUUAACCAUACAUGUCACGUUAGUCUAUGCCUCAACCAACUGCCAAAAGAGGGAUAAAACGUGGGACAAGCUGAUAAAAAUAGGUAGAACGAUAACUGGACUAUGGAUUCUACUCGGUGACUUCAACGAGAUCAGAAGUAGGAAAGAUAGAAUAGGAGAACACGCCACAUUCUCUAUGCCAAACAUAAGGAGUUUCAACCAAGCGAUAGACAAUGCAUGCCUGCAAGAGAUCUCCAUUUUAGGCAACCCAACUACAUGGACGAAUAAAAGGGUAGGAGAGUACAGAAUCAACAGUAAGAUCGAAAAGGAGUUUGGAAAUGCUAAACUCUUCAAUCUAUGGCCUGAUAUAAAAUUGGAAAGCCACUCCAGGGGCACGUCCGACCACCGUAGUUUGACCAUCGAUCUUAGAAUCGUUCGGGAAAAGAAAAAACCUUUCAGGUUCACAAACUCAUGGCUUAAAAAAGAAGAGUUAGAAGGAGUAGUCAAAGAGGCUUAGCAGAUCCAAGCAUGGGGAACCCCGAUGUAUAUAUUCACCAAAAAAUUAAAUAAUGUGAAGAGGGUACUUAAGAGGUGGAAGACAUCGGAGGACCAAGCAAGAUGGAGAAUAGCCCAGGCUGAGAAAGAGAUCCAAAAAAAUGAGAACUUGCUGGAGGAAAACCCAUUCGACGCAACAAUACAUAAGAGGCUAAAAGGAUGUAUUGAAAAUUUAAAAAUCCUAAUACAGGUCCAAGAAGAGAAUGCAAGACAGAGAAGUAGGGCGUACUGGCUUCAACUUGGAGAUAAGAACACCAAAUACUUCGCAGCCAUGACGAAACAGAGGAAAAACCUAAAUUCACUAUACAUAAUUCUAGGGCCCAAUGGGAAGGCGAUGGUUUCGAGAAGUGAGAUGGAGGAGAAGACACUACACUUCCAAGCCCUAUAAGCCGAGGGAGGGGAGACCUUGAGUAGCACCCCUAGAAAUUUCACAAACACAGUCAUAGACCAACAAAACACAGACUUAGAGGAAAUGCCUACCUGGCCCGGAUGGCUUCAAUGGAGUUUUUUUUAGAGCUUGUUGGAACAUCAUAGAUAAGGACCUGGUAAAGGUCAUACAAUCCAUCUUCUUAGGCGAACCCCUCCUAAGACAAACCAACGCGACAUUCGUGACUCUAAAUCCCAAAGAUCAAGAGUCCAACGAGGAUGGACCAAUUCAGACUCAUAUCCUAUAUCAAUACCACGUAUAAAAUAUUAUCCAAGAUCAUAACGAACAGAUUCGACUUUAGUUGACAACAACCAAAUAGCCUUUCUGUCAGGCAGACUGAUUGGUGACAAUUACCUUUUAGCAACUUAGAUGAGUAAAAUAUAUUUAGUUUCAUAUUGUUGUAGGUUUAUAAUUAGUUUGUUUAAAUAUAAAAAAUAUGAUAACUAUAAAAAAAAUUACAAUUGUUUUUAAUAUUUUACUUAUUUUAUCUAUCCAUAAUUUGUGUUGUUUCACUUCUGGGCCAUUCUUGAAUAUUCAUUCAUAACAUUGAAAAUUACAAUUGUAUUAUUUAUGUUGUUGCUUUUGUCUAAUAUUUUUUUGUGUUUAAUAGACUAUUUUAAUUUCUUUUGGUUUUACAAACCCACCAAAGGUUGAUUUUAAGAUAAUGUGAAGUCAAUCAUUAACUGUGAUCUGUUUGGUUUUUGCAGUUGGAUUAACAAUGGUGUUGAUUGGUGAUUGAUUAAUGAAACUUUUAUAUGACUUUCCUCCUUUGAUCAUGUCCACACCUAUCUUAAUAAUGAUAUGUUGAGGGACAAUGAUACAUAUGUUGUUCUAGUUUAUGAUAAUAUUCGAAUCUCUUUCCCCGAACACUCUCAUGCAUUUCCACCAUUGAUGCGAUUUUUUCAAUUAAUCCAAAGCUAUCGAACAAAUAUCUUAAAAGAAUCAAAAUAGAAAAGGAACGAUUUUUUGUGCGGUUAGAAGCGUCCGUUAAUCCUGAUCGUCGUUUAUCAUGGGAACCACUGCAGCGUUCGUUUCUCUGUUCAUGGAUUUUGUACCAUUCAGUUCUAUGUAAAGUUCCAGAAAUCAUUUUAUGAGUUUUUUCCCACCUGUACAAUUUUGUUUUGGAAAAUAGUGUUCUGUUUUCGAACAUUACUAGACCUUAAGACGUUUCUAUAUCUCUUAACUACAAUAUAUUGAGUUUCAUUUUCAUCCUAUUUUCCAUUUGAAUGGAAAUUAGAAAUUAUAGUUGUAUGCAAUUAGGCUAAUCACAACAGGUUUCUGUGAAUUAUAUUUUAAAAUCACAUAACAUGCUUGAUGGUACCCAUAAUCUAUCAGCCCAGGCCCACGCAAGAGUCCAGAAGCAAGGCCCAGUAAAGUGAACAAAGGAGGAAGAUCCAGGCCGCCCCAAGGGUAUUCGCGCGACUGGGCCGGUCCGACCGGACGGAUCCGUCGGCCCAGAUGGUUAGCUUUCCAAGGGUUGCGUCUCAAGCAUGUCGGGUCCUUUAGGUCGGGUCUUAGUCCGAGAACCCAAGGUCCAGAGUCCGGUGGGAAAUUGUAUAAAUACCCCUAGGGGUGAAGUGUAAAAGAGGGGAAAAACAGUUGUUGCUAUAACGAUAAUAUACGAUCAGUUACCAUUCCCUAGGGAAACGAUCAAUGCUUAAUUCGGUAUUCCCUUAAAAUAUAAAUAAGUUGUAUUGAGUUUGGUAUUUACUGAUUUUUAUUUAGUUUGAAUAUUGAUUCCCACUCAGUUUGGUAUUUUGAUAGUAUUCCAUGAAAAAUUAUGUAAGUUUCUUUAGUUUGUCAUUUUGUGAAUUUAUUGAAAUUUAGUUUCUUUGAGUUUUAUUUUAGAUUCACAUAUAAUGUUUUGGUAUUCACUAAAAAAAUAAAUUAGGUUUAUUGAUUGUGGUUUUUGCUCAUAGAUAGUUUGAAUUGAAUAUAUAAAUUGAAUGUAGUCAUUUUCAUUGAAUGAGCUAACUAAGGGUUGUUCAUGAAUUGAAUAUGUGUUUCAAAUAUUAAAAAUUUGCGAUGUUCAUUGUUCUACUUAGUGUAUUUUUAUGUGCUAUAUGUAGUAAUAUUUCAAAUUGUAUACACAGAAUACCCAAAUUAUUUUCAUCUUCAACUUUCUAACCAAUUUCUGUAUUUCAUCAAUCAAGAUUUUCAAAUUAGUUAAAACUGCUCAUGAGAAAAGAAACACAAAGGUUGUUAUUAUUAAUAACUCAUGAGUAGCUCUAAUCUAGCUCCCAGGCUCAUGAGUAGCUCAGGACCAUCCCACAGUUCAUGUACUAUAUAUAGGAAUGUUUCAACUGCAUUAAAUAUUGGAAAAUUUCUACAGAAAUUAUUUAAUCAUUGAUCUUAUAUUGCGAACUGCAGUUAUCAACUGCAUUCAAUUGUUAAUAUUAGGUAGCUCUAGACUAGCUCCCAAUUUCCGAGUAGUUUUAAUUAUAUUAUAAAUCAUAUGAAAACGGGUUAUGUUAUCAGUAUUAAUGUGUUUCAGUAUAAAGUAAUAAUUAGCUCGAUUAAAAUAUAUAUAUAUAUAUGUUUAGUUCAUAAAUAUUUAUGCACUUUAGUUCACAAAUAGACGCCAAUACAACGCGUAAUACGGAAAACGAGUACAUAUAAUAUACGACGCAUAAUUCGUUGUACAGAGUUUAAUUGUUGAUGAAUAAUGUAUCGUCAGUCGACGGAUUAAGGUCUAACGACCGAAAUUUUUUCACCGCAUGUGCGUUUUGGCACACCUGAAACUAGCUAUAUAUAUAUAUAUAUUGUAUGACAACCAAAUUAUAAAUGGUAUGAUAAUGUGACAUUCAUAAUAUAUAUAAUAAUGUCUAUGAUAUAGCAGACGGGUGGCCGUCCCCUGCGGACCAUCUGUCGAACGUCGAUGGAUGUCCAUCCGGCGGUCCUUACGCACUAAUCCGGCCGUUCCGGAGUCAACACGACCAAUGCCAAGACCGGCACAGAUCCAAUUGUAUAUCAGAGCCUACUUACUAGCGUUAUGGCCUACAUUGUCAGGACAGAGGUCAUGUCGAAGCACCCCCAUUUGUUUCGGAUCGACGAGUGCGUGAGGAACUGCCGGCCGCCGAUCAUGUCGGAUACCCCCCAUCAUGUCGGAGACCCGUUUGUCCUGUCGGACACCCCCAAGCAAUCCGCCGAACGUCUACGUCCCAGCGAGGGAGGUAUGUUCCCUGCGUCGGUCCAUAUAUACCUACUCAAGUAUUUUCUCAUUUCCAAAUAUUCAAUUUGUGCAGCCCAUACCGACUUUGACCAUCGGACACCAGCAACGACAGGGGAGGGGCAAUUGGAAGACUCAGGCAUCGGUUCUUCAUUUGGCUAUUUAAACAGGGGUUGCGUCGUUGUAAGAACCAUCUCAUCCUCCACUGCAUUAGCGAUUUUCCACAUUCUUCCACCUCCUCCACCGAAAGGUAUUUUUCUAGUCGAUAACAUUCCUUGGGUGUUUCUUGUUAAUUUCUUAGGCAAAUUUCUUAGGCAAAUAUCCAGUAGAUCGGAUAUAGUUCGUAUGUCUAUAGAUUUUUUUUGUUUUAUUUCCUCAUAGGCAGUAUACUACAUGUGAUUUGGUCUAUGUUUUCCGACCAAAAUCAAUAUUAUCUUUCUACCUCAUCAUCUGGUUCAUCAUAUUCAAGAAAGAUGUUGCUGAUAUUAAACUUUUAUUCGAUGAUUUCCUGUUUUAUUAAACUGUUAUAUGAUGGUUUCCUCUUACAAAUAUUUUCACUGCUACUACGUGAUUGUCCUUCGAUUUUGGGUAAUUCCAAUCUAGUUUUCAAAAUUUUAGAUUUCAAAUACUUCAAUAAUAGAUUGCAAUGACUUAUGCCUAAUUUUGAGUUAGUUUAUAGUACGCAAUGAGUUCUCGAAAGAGAAAUACUCCGGAGAACAACCGGGUAAGGAGGAGGAGAGGAAACCUCCACGAGAUAAUUGUCAUCAGCGAUGAUGAACCAGAGAAUGGUUCUGUUGCUGAUUUACCGGAGCCCAAGCUUGUUAACACAGGACGUCGGUCAACCCGAUUGACGCCAUUGCCCCCAAGAACCUCUGCAAUGAGGGGGUGCUGGCCUUCCAGAAAGAGGAAGUCCGUCAUGAUACAAGGACAGACCUCUCGUGCAAACGAACCGGUUAUGUGAUCAGAGUUCCUUGUCCAGCCCGCCGAUGUUCGUCAACAAAUACCCAUAUCCACUUCCUCCUGCGAUUCAAGAACUCGUUCAACUCUCCCAAUAUUGACUUGAGAACCCAUACAGGAGGUUACCUGAACUGAAUCAAUGUGGUAGGUGUUUCCAAGAAAUCCCUGAGGGACAUCCGAAUUACAUGCCGUUGAUGCCAAAUUUUCCCAUAGAGCCCUCGUCGGAUGACGACUACGAGAACGCUUUGGAGACUUACAAGAACAUUGAUCCCAAUGAUGCACAACAGUUGAAGGAUUGGUUGACACAGUCUUUCAAUACUCCUCCCCACUAAAAAUGAUGACUAGCUAUGGGUCCAAAAUCAAAAUGAGUACUGUUAGGACAAUUUACUUUUUGUCCAUGUUAAUGAAAUGUACUCUUGAAUCAAACUGUUGUACCCAACAUUAAGCUAUUAAGAUUUUCAGAUGUUGAUCUUUUCAUUAGCUCUAUGAAGUGUGCAAGUUCCUAAAUUUACAUAAAUUACAGAGCAAAUAAAUGCAAGUUUAAAUGAAUAAUCCAAACUGCAAACAGCAUGUUUUCAAUAAAUGAAAUGUAGAGACUCCAACUAAUGAACUAGUUCUAGUUUAUUUACUGGAUAAAAUCUUAUGAAAUCAUUUCUGUAAUUCCAGGGAACAACAAAUAAAUGCUUUGUGCAAUAGUACUAAAUACCAGGGUUUAAUUAUUCCAUCAGAUGCAUAUUUAGAUGUAAUUUUGUAACUAAAUUUUAAUUUUCAUAUGGAUUCAGGUCUGCAAAUACUAUUUUUAAAACACGAAGAUCCUUCGGAUGUCGACGACGAGAAACACAUCUUGAGGUAGAACAAAAACUUUAAUAAUAUGUUAAUAAUUAUGCUUCUAUUUUGAAAUUUAAAGAUUUAUAAGGUUAAUCAAUUGAAACUGGACUCUUCAAAUUUGUCCAUUACAGAUGGAGUUCUUCAAUCCAAAUAAUCCUCAUAAAUGAAAAUCAUUUUUGAAUCUCCAUGCACUAUGAUCGAGGUAGGAAUAACAUGAUUCAAAUAGCCAAAAGAUUAUUCCAUCUCUAUGGAAUCCUUAGAAACAUGAUGGUCUUCGAUCACUUGUGAACAUUAAUUUAACACUAACGUCAAGAUAGAAUUCAAAAAUGCAUUACCCUGUUCUAUAAAAAUUGAAUCAUUAGAAACAUAUUUAUAAUCAGGGGCUUUUACUAAAAAAAUCAUUAUAGUUAAUCAAUGCUUCUGUGCUGAAACUUAAAGAUUAUAUCUGGUUUUAUCAAUUGGAAUGGGAUUCUCAAACUUUGUCCAUUACAGUUAAUAAACUUCGAUGUGAACAUUCAUUAGAUUCUUCAAUACAUUUUGAAUCUCCAUGCACUAUCAUAGAGAUAGAAAUCAUAGGAUUCAAAGAGACAAGAGAUUACAUGUCAGUCAUCCAUAAAUAGGUUUUGAAUAAUACAAUCCCUAGAUUUUUCAAUCACUAUAUAAUCUUCUGUUAUAACUAUCAUUGAAAUAUGAUUCAAGCAGGCAAUAGAUACUUCCAUUUAAAUGGAAUCAUGAGACUCUGCAACAUCUAAGAAAGAUUAUCAUCUAGAGUGACUAUAAAAUGAACAUUAUUUGAUAAAUCCUAUAAUUUUUAACAUUAAACUAGGAUAUUCAACAGUCAUCGCUUUUGAACUUGGAUUCAAAAUUCCAUUAGAUUCUUCAAUCACUUUUGAACCUUAAUUUAACAAUAUCGGCAAGAUAGAAUUCAUAUAUGCAUUCGCAUAUUGUUCUAUCAAAUUUGAAUCAUUAGAAGCAUUGCAUCUUCGGGGAGCUUUCACCUAAACAAUAAUUAAAAACUAUAUAAUUUCUUGAGAUUGCUUAAGGCAAUUUCAUCAUAUGGGAGUCAAUAACCACCUUAUGAAAGCAUUCAAGUUUAUUUAAUCGAUAUAAUCUUCCAAAUUCAAAUAUGUAAAUGAGGGAAGAAAAAAAUAUUUAUUGUAAAAUAGGGCUAACUGCCAAGGUUUAUUUGAUUCGUCAAAAAGAUAAUUGUACGAUCAUUUGUAACUGAUUUUUUAUUUUUAUUUAGAUUCAGGUCUGCAAAUAAAUUAAUUGAAAACAAGAAGAUCCAGUCAUUAUUGAAGUUUGGGUAACAUCUUCAGGUCGAACUAAAACCUCUAAAUGAUAUGUUAAAUUUUUUUGCUUCAAUCUGAACAAUAAGCUCUGAUCUGAACAAUGCUCAGAUUGUCUAAUCAAUUUUGAAUAACAUGAUUCAGACAACCAAGAGAUUAUUCCAUCUCUAUGGAAUCCUUAGAAACAUGAUGGUCUUCAAUCAAUUUGAUCAAUAAUUUAUCACUAACGUCAAGAUAGAAUUCAAAAAUGCAUUCCCCUGUUCUAUAAAAAUUGAAUCAUUAGAAACAUAGUUAUAAUCAGGGCGCUCUUACUAAAAAAAUCCUUACAGUUAGUCAAUGCUUCUGUGCUGAAACUUAAAGAUUAUAUCAGGUUUAUCAAUUGGAAUGGGAUUCUCCAACUUUGUCCAUUACAGUUAAUAAACAUCGAUCUAAACAUUCAUUAGAUUCUUCAAUACAUUUUUGAAUUUCCAUGCACUAUCAUCGACAUACAUUGAAAUAUGAUUCAGGCAGGCAAUAGAUACUUCCAUUUAAAUGGAAUCAUGAGACUCUGCAAUAUCUAAGAAAGAUUAUCAUCUAUAGUGACUGUAAUAUGAACUUUAGUUGAUAAAUCCUAGAAUUUUUAACAUUAAACUAGGUUAUCCUAGAAUUUUUAACAUCUAGAAUCUCUCUCAGGACGCUUUUAACUACUGUAACUGAAUUUUUAUUAUAAUAUGAUUACAGGUCUACAAAUGGAUUUUUUAAACUUAGGAUAUCCUAGAAAUAUGGACGACGAGAAAAACAUCUUGAGGUAGAACUAAAACCUUUUCAACCAUAUGCAGAAAAUUAUUGGGGAUAUUCAGAAUAUUCUAAAUGUAUUGGGCUGUGGUAUAAACUUGGACCUUCCCUAUGGAUACAAAAAAAAAUUUGCAUAACAUAAGGCAUAACUAUAAGGUUGAUCUGGUCGCUAGCAUAAUAUCAUUUCUCAAACUAGGACAGAGUUUCAUAAUUAAGACAUUUACAUUAAUGUGUUACGAAGUAUCAUUUUCUAAAGUCGACACAAGAUAUUCGAUCGAAACACUGGCUUCUAAAAGUUUUUUUUCUUCUGCAGGAUGGAUCCAGAAAUGACUACAUGAAACCACAAUUGUAAAAUGUUAUUGCCCUACCUAAAUUUCUAACUAUAAUCAAAUUCAAUUACUCCAGCAGACACAAGUAAAUUAAAUGGUUACAAUUUUCGAUUUUCAAUUUGGAGAGCAAUCUAGAUUUACUAUACAUAGGUAUAGUAUAUACAGCUCCAAACCAUAAUUUUAAUUCUUUUGGAUUGUCUAAACAGAUCAAUGGGGAGAAUAAUGUAGCCCGAAAACUAGGUAUUUUAUUUUUCGGCAUAUUCUAUUUAUCAUCGUCGAGGGCGGUUAGACGUUCAUUAAAAUUACAUAUUUUUGCAGAUUCUGACGAACUAGUAUUAGAUACAAUUCAAACAACAAAUAUGGAUUUACACACACCAGACAGGUAAUUUAUGUGUUUGAACACAAUAUACUACUGAUGAGGGUGAAACCCGACCAGUGCUCCAAGACGCUCCAGCAAGCGCCAGGCGGGGAACUCCGCAGGAAAUUGGACCGGAACUCAAGUGUGCAGAGCUUCGCUUCGCUAGGACUUCUCCACUCCAAAUGACCUGCCUUUAAUGAGUGGGGGGUGCCUCCUAUUUAUAGGGAUUCUUAUGGGGGUAAUCUGGUCAUUUGGGCAGUAACCGCCUAACUGAUCAGAUCGGGUCCCAAAGUCGACUUUUCAGAGAUCGACUUUCCUGGGAUCGACUUUUGAGAAAAGUCGAUCCCAGGGAAGUCGAUCCUUGGGAAAGUCGAUCUUCCUAGGAUUCGACUUGGGACCUCCCAAUCCCAGAAUAGGUACCUCAACUCAUCUCAGGCCAUCCGGACUUCUAGUUGCUGGUAAGUUGUGACCGAGUUCGGGAUACUGUAUCACCAACUACAUAUAAGGAAUACAUAUUUUUGUUUGAUGUAUGAUGAUUGUGCUUCCCACAUCGUAUAUAUAUUACCGAAUGUUACUGAAUAUAUAGCUCAACUAACAGAGAAGAUCCAAAUGGAAGGUCUCUGGGCGAGAAUUUCAAUGAGGAUUGCAUCCGGUAAUCUAAUUCGGUGCUCAAAUUUACGUCACAGUAAUCAGAUGUCAUCUAUACUAAGAUAUUAAAUAAUUUUGCCUUUUCUUUCAGAAUCAAUGAACAUCCUAAUGUCGGUAUGACAUUCGACUCAAUAAAGGAGGCUGAAGAUAUUUACUACGCAUAUGCUGGGCAAAAAGGGUUCUGCGUGCGUAAAGGAUCAACUAAACAUUCGAAGAAGGGUCUCCGUAAGAAGACCUACGUUUGCGCGAAGGAAGGUACAUCUAAAGCCAAAAUUCCAAUAGUAGAAAAUCCAAGCAUUGUAUCUACAAAACCUAGAUACAUCAGAAAUUCGAGAACAGGAUGCAAAGCACUACUAACUAUUAAGAUAUACGGAGAUAGGUGAGUUAUAUCUGUUUUCAACGAUAAUCACAACCAUGAUUUGUCAACGCCGUCCAAGAAAAGGUUCUUGAAGAUAAAUAGGGAAAUUACCCCCCCCCGUAUGCAAGAAAUUUGAUAGGCAGUCUGGAUGCGACAAACAUACCUCCCAGUCAGCAAAAUUCGUACGUGGCUAUGCAGUCAGGGGGCUUCGCGAGCUGUCCAUUUACACAACAUGAUUUCUCCAACUACCGCUGCGACGAAAAGGAGAACAUGAAUAGUCAUGACGUCGAGACUUUAAUUGAGAAAUUUAAAGCACUAAAGGAACUCGACAAAAAAUACUACUACUCGUACCAACUUGACGAGGAAGGUAUGAUAUAAUUUCUCGCAAAUCUAAAUGAUCUAUUUUCAUUGGUAGUUAUCUGAAUCAUCUAUUUAUGUAAGAUCUUUGAAACAAUUAUUCUGGGCUGACCCAACAUGUAUCGAAGAAUAUAAGGAAUAUGACGAGGCUAUAACUUUCGAUACAACAUACAACACGAACAAGUACAAAUUAAUUAUUGGAAUUUUCUGUGGGGUGAAUAACCAUCUUCGUACUGUUCUGUUUGCUCUUCUCGGAGUUCAAAAAAUGCAUAGGAAAUUAUCCAAAGACAAUAAUCACUGACCAAGACACUGCUAUGAAAUGUGCUUUAUCUAGUGAGUUUCCGAAUGUGUUUCAUCGGCUAUGCAAGUGGCACAUUAUACACAAGAUGUGUGACAAGGUAGCUACGGUAUACAGAAAUAAGGAGGAGAUGGAGAGAUUCAACAAAAUCCUAAACACAUCUGAGAAUAUCGAGGUCUUUGAGAAAAAUUGGAAUUCUUGGACAGAGGACAAUAAACUUAAAGAACACAAGUGAUUGGGAGACAUGUACGCGAUUCGAGCACAAUGGUGUCCAAUAUACAUGACCAAACACUUCUUUGGUGGAAUGCAGAGCACGCAAAGAAGUGAGGGGAUGAAUUCACUAGUGAAGUUAAAUGUCAAAAUGUCAUCUACAUUGUUCGAAUUCGUUUGCUCACUUGAAGUAGUAUUGAAAGCACAACGCAACAGAUUGGAAGAACUCGACCACAAAGACAGAGAUGCACCCCCAUUACUAAUUACCCAACUGAAAAUAGAAAAAUGUUUGCUAUCGAUUUAUACAACAGAGGUUUUUUUACUCUACCAGCAACAGGUACAGAAGAGUGUAUGCUAUUAUGUCCGAGUAAAUCCAAAUGUAAGACUCCCUAAAGUUGAAAUAUAAUUUAUUUCAACUACUUUUAUUUUUAAAAUUUCUGUGCUUUCUUUGAACAGGAUAUGAAUGUCCACAUGGUCAUAGGGAUAUACUCUCAAAUUGAGUCUGCAAAAAUAACAUGCGGGCAAUCAAUUGAUACGCCUUCAUGUAGCUGUCAUCUAUUCUCUAGCAAAGCGAUUCCAUGCCGCCAUAUAAUUUGUUUCUUAACUUCAAAUGGGCGGACUGAAUUACCGGUGGAUUUGAUUUGUGAUCGUUGGAAAAUGACGGAAAAGAAAACAGUAAACCAGAGAGAAUCUAUUCAAAAAUCUGCAGGUAACGCCCUUACAACAAUUUUCAAUAGAUGCGUGAGAAUGAUUGCAAACAAUGCCGAAAUAGAAGAUGGGAUAAUUUCACGAAUGGAUGAAAUCUUAAAAGAAUUUGAAGAUAUGCACUCGACCACUAUCCAGCAAUCAAAUUCGAGAUCAAUUACCAGAUUUGAAGAUAAGAUAACUAGCCCGCCUUUAAUAGGAAACCCGAAGGCAGCAAAAACCAAAGGUAGUGGGAAAAACACUGGACGACCUAACAAGGCAGACCCGAGGUUUAAAUCUACCCGGGAAAUUAGAGUUAAAAAACCAAGAUGUUGCAAGAAAUGUCAAAAACAAGGACAUAACGUAAGGAGUUGCGCGGUAGAUUAACAUAAAUGAUUCAGAUGGAGAGAACUAUUUAAACGUCAUUUAUUGAAACUUCUUGUCUAUCGUACCUAGAUAAUAAAUUCUGCAGAGGCAAUACCUACUAGUUAUUUACUUCUACUUGCAGUUUUUUAAUUAGAAAUACAUUCUUCUUCUCUGUAUAUUGUGCAUUGUACGAUCCUAGACUUUAUUGCUUUAUGAUCAAAACAAAAUACAAUGUCUGCAGAUAAAAAUGAGUUCAAGAAGGAAAACACGGCAGCAGAACUACAAAUACUGAAUUUGUGGGAAGGUUUCACUUUCAAAGUAGCUUUCUUAGAUUUCUAGAUCUAGAAAAUGCUAUAAGAAAUAUAAAUGGAUAAGGCCAAGGACGAUUGCUUCCGAAGAUGAUGGAGUCUUCUUUAACUUGCUAUUAUGAAUUAGAUAUUUUGAUUAGAAUAUUUUUACUUUGAAAUCUUGAAAUUGCUCAUAUGAGACCAGAAAACAUUGCUAACAAUAUGUUCUUAAUUCUUCUUUCUGUAUAUUUAUUUUAAAAUUCAGAAUCUUUAUCAUUUACCACAGGACCAUGGUCACAGGAUGAAUUGCAACAGUUCUUUGAUUUGGUGAACUUGGAUUAUCGAAUGAGUUUUGCAGAAAUAAAGGAUUCAGAGCAUGGCAUGGUACUAGUAAAUUUUAUGAUUUUUUCUUCUUCUUUAACCCUUCACAUUUAAAACUUAUUUUUAUGUUAUUCUUUUCGAUAGCUGAGGGAUAACAUUUCAUGUGGAGCAAUCAGCAACAAGAUCACCACAAGACUACACAAAGAUUGUUGCCUAAAAUUAUUGACUAUAUAUAACCAACUAGAUAGGGAGCGCGCGAUUUUGGGACGGCCACCCGUCUGUGAAGCGUAGUGUAUAUAUAUAUAUCUGUGGGUAUUCGGCUACAAAUUUAAAGAAGCAUAUAUGAAAGGUAUAUCCGGAGCCAUGACAACAAGAGAUGCCAAUUUUAUAAAUGAACUUCCGCCUGGUUUUAGAUUCCACCCAGCAGAUUGAGAGGUCAUAGAUGAGUACCUGAAGAAAAAGAAUCUGCAAAGAAGCUACAAUCCAAGAGGGAGGUUGAUUUGAACAAGUGCGAGCCAUGGGAUCUUCCAAGUAAUCCAUCCAUCCUUAAUCAAUCUUCAUAUUUCAGUUGGUGUAUAUGUUCAUCGAUCUUCAUAUUUGUACUAUCAUUUUUUUGUCUGCAGGUAAGGCCAAGAUGGGAGAGAACGAAUGGUACUUCUUGACAGCUAUUUCUUGAAAUAAACGAUGAGUUCCAUGAAAAUAAUUUCUAGCGUUUAAAAAAAAAAAAAAACAGACUUCAGAAAUUAGAAGCUUGUUAAGCUAAAGAUGUUGAUUGGGACAGUCUUCUUGAACACAGGUGGUAAUCAAAUUUUACUCUUUUUUUCUAUAAAGGAAUUUUUACGUUAUUUUAUGUUAUUUACUGGGAAAGUUUUUGUAAUUAUUCUGACAGGAGUGGCGAUAUUUGUCGGACUCGUUAGGAGGAAAUGACCAAGUACAUAGGUGGACAUCAAGAAAAAUCCUGCAUGGCCCAAGUUGAUGUCCUUUCUAAUCGUUACUAUCCUGAAAUGUAUGAAUACAGGGGUAAAACGAAAUAAAGAUGAAGACAAUGAGAAUAAUAAAGACAACGAACAUAUGAAAACAUUGAGGGGGGCAGUUAAUGAGCACAACAUGAGUUUUCAAAAUUAGGAAUCAUUUUUAAAUUUCAUGCAAUGAUUUUGUAAUGACUCUUUAAACUAUUAAUUCCUUUUUAUACAAUGACAAUGUAAUACCCAAAAAAGUUAGAUAGACAGAUGUACAAUUAAAAAAAAAAGAUUGUUUAUACUCUCCUGUUAUUUCCAUUACCCGGAAUGUGUAAAAUGGUGAGGAAGACAGGAAGUGCAUUCGCCUAUAAUUAGAAAAAUAUGUAUAAGAAUUCCAAUAGCAACAGGUACUACGCUUCACAGAAGGAUGUCUCCAUAGCCAGGGCAGUAAGUACAAUUUGUAGUUUAUACAUAUCCUCAAGAUAUAAAAAAUUUCAUUUAUUUAUAAUCAAUUGACUGUUAGUUUUCGUGAAAUUGGGCAAACAAACAUUUGAUACAUCCGAAGAUCUAUUUAAAACCUAACUUCAUCUACCUGAGGUUACAAGAUCAGAAAACUACAAGUUUACAAACUAAUAAAAUUCUACAAAAAAAGAAUUUCAUUUGGGUUUCCAAACCCUAAGGUUCUCAAAGAUAAUCUCCUUCGUCAUAUAACGUGGCAAAGUCAUGCCCGUCUUUUGAUAACAUCUAGUCUUCAUUUUCUUGACAUAGAGUUUCAUCUUCAUGAUAGUUACUUCUCUCUCACAGAUGUAGUUUUAUCAUCUCCAUGUUCCAUCAGUAGUUAAGCGAAAACUGGUUGCUGCUGCCCAUAAACGAAAAAGAUCCGUAAUAAUUUAGAAUGAAUAUAACUAUACAUGAUAAUGAAUUGAUUCUUCAAUGGUCAUUGGGAUAUAAAAUUAGAAAGUUAUAAUUACUUCAUUUUUCUUUUAAUAUGCUUACCUCCAAGCACUUUAAUACAUCCAAACACUAAAAACUCACAUUGAGAAUUGCAAUCUGGAUGUUCAAAUUCAGAGAUGCCAUCAAUCUGUAUCAGAAGAAGAAAAAAAACGAAGAGGAGCAUACAAAACAUCAAUUUGUUUUCCAAAUCAGAAAAAUACCUGCCUCUGCUUCAUGUGCUGAGCGUUGAACAUAAGGAUAACCAAGCAAUAGUACAUCCACUGUGAUUUCUAGAAGAGAUAUAUAUUUGCAAAACGGACCGAGUAUAAUAAAUGGCACGGUGCGAAAAUGAUUAAAAUUUUCAGCAUUAUAUGUUAAUAAAAUGCAUCACAUUAUAAAUUGAAGUUCGUGUUUUCCUGGUAGGCAAAAAAUUUCUAAUCCAGACAAAAAGAUACGCAAUAUUCAAAUAGCUAGGGGAAUAUGUCAUGCGUAAGUACAAAAAAGGUCGAUGAAACGUAGCAGAAUUUAAUUAGUGGACAUUAACAUUAGGUAAAAUAAGGUACUAUACUAUCUUCGUUUGAAUCGAUUGUUGCGCCUAUUAAUUAAAUUUUCCAUUUUAACAUUCCAGUCACCAUACUCCAUUCUCUCAGAUAGUCUACGAAAUAAGCAGUUUCUUAUUUUCGGUACUUCUGACUUCUUCCAUGUCAUGUGCUCCUCCAGACUAAUAUUGUUGAACACACCAUCUUCAAUGUGCAAAUAAUCAAUCAAACACGAUAUUCCAUGUAACAUGUACAAUCCACCAUCCAUCUUCGGGUUGAUCUCUUGGGGAUAUGUCAUACAAUCAAUGAAUUCGGGUUCACUGUGUCUAUCACUGAAUAGGAAAUCUUGAAACCAUUUGGUCAUCCAUAUAGCCUGUAAUACGAUAUGCGCAAAAAUCACAUACAAUACUAAGAAAUUUAAAAGCUUUUAAUAACUUAAGGUACGCUUCGCAUACCUUCUCAGCAUACAAUAACUUAAUUUUUCUAUAUCUUUUUCUAUAUAAAGAUAUAGAAAAAUAAAAUAAAACUACUAACAGUACAGCAUUAUAUUCGUAGAACUUGAAGAUAACCACUGACCAUAACAUCAUAUGGUUUGUACUACAAUAUAUCGUUCAGAUGUUGCCCGAAACAAGUAACACUAUUAUUGGUAAUUAGGAAAAAUGAGAGAGACCUGGACCUGUUGUGUGAACAAAUUACUAUAGUUUAACACAUGAUCUGAUUUUAACGAACCAAAUCACUUACUCAGGUUUCAUGACAAGAUGUUUCGUCUCUUCAUUCAACUUAGGAACGAGUCGUCCGUUGUUGGUAGCAAUUAGGUGUAGUUCUCUUUCCUUCUUCUUCUUAUUUACAAUCUGUAGUUUCAGAAGAUGAGAUUAACAUAGUCAGAUAUUAAAUUAGCGGGAAAUAGAUGCUGAAUAAAAAAUGAGAUAAGUACCUUCUCAGCAUUUCGGUCCUUCAUUCGUUUGAUCAUAGAUGAAACGAAGGGUGAAUUUCGACUAGGCAAAUCGUUUUGGGAAAAAUUAAUCCUACGAACCACGUCCCGAAACUUCUCCUGUUUCGAAACUAUUCUGGGAACUCAACGUAUUCUCUAUUGCAUCAGCAGACACAGCAGCAGAUGCCCAGAACUCGGGCGAAGAUACGAAUAUUGAUUUUAAUGGUGGAUUUCCAACAUUCAACAUGGGUGUCCUAAGACCAUCGUUGUUUUCUUUUAUUUUUUCAGGACUUGUAAAGUCCAAGUUCAAACGCAAUUGAGUAAAAGUCAUUCCAUUUGGUUUCUGUAAUGGGACUUUCCUAUACCUAGCAUCAUUAACCAACUGGUUGUACAUGGACUGUCCUUCUUCUACAACAAGUAUCAAAUUUGAUUUCGAAUAGGCAUAGGGAGUAGACGAUUUCACUACUGAAUCACUCAAUAAAUUUACUGGAGAAUUCGGGACAAAGGAAGAUUGUGUUUUAUCAACCACAUCCAUAUCAAAUUGGUCUAGAAGAUCAAAACUAGGGGGACAUAUAUGCUCAUUGGCAGGAGGAUGUACAACGUCUACAUGAUCAUUAAUGAUCAUAGGAUGUGAGGAAGAAACACAUUCACUGAUUGACUUAUUGGUUUCCUCAUUAUGGGCAUUUACAGAGCUCAAAGUUUGGAGAUUUGCUGACUUAUCCAUUCCUUGAGGAGGGGGAUAAGCAGAUGUUGUGGGAAUUUCGUCAGAUUCGAUAUCUAGAUUUUGGCAGGGUUCUACAAGCAUGUAUUCAUACAAUUCUAAACCUUGAAGAAUAACUGGACUUUCUAUUGUCGGGUAAUGUUCAUUGAUAGAAGGAUUCUCAUGACAUGCUAACUUCUCGUUCAUCUCAAUGCAAUUAAAUAAUUCAUUCAUGGGAUUAUCCGGGUCCGAAUCAAAUGUCGGUGUAGGUGACGGCGUACACAGAUCAACAACAGUUGAGACGUCCAACUGUAGGUCUAAAUUUUUUCCGUCAAUCGGUAUAGUGGAUUUCUUAUUAGCACAUCCUUUUUGGCCUUCUAAUAAAAAGAUAAUUUAGCGUUUUUGAUUUACCAUAUUAUAAAACUAUUUUUACGUACUUUACUUACCUGGGGAAGAUGAUUUUCGAACAGCCUUAUCCUCUCUGCACUAAUUCUCUCAAAAAGGAAUGAUUAGAAUUUACCAUUUUCGGAACAAAAAUUAAUUGAUUGAACUCAUACCUUUCUUAAAAUUGAUUGUUGCUUGUAAUUCUUGUACAAUGAAUAAAUUUCAUCAGAGUUGGUUGAAAAAGAGGCUUGCGAGACAUCUGACGAAAAUUGGUAUAAUGAAAGGUAUAAAAAAAAAUUAUGAACGAUACUCGGAAUAAAAUUUCAUUAGACAUAAAAGUGUACAUCAAAUAUCCUAAAAUGAAGCACAUAAAGGUCUAACAAGGACAGGAAUACAUCAUAACAUCAUUUUAUAUAGGGUGGGUUUCAUUUCUAACCACCUAAGAUGGCUUGGUGAUCAAAUCUACCCACCAAGCCUACUAACUUAUGGUUAGGGUGUGUUAUUUAUUUUAUUUUCCUGAUUUGCCCUUCUUAAAAUUAAGUAGCAGAUUAGACCAAUUUAUAUACCUGUCUUGAUAAACCCGAUAACCCGGUAUUCUAGCAAUGCCACCGGCUUUUCCUCCAACCCAUCAUUUUGCGUUAUCACCUCCAACCCAUCGGAAUCAAUGGCGGAGGAGGCUGUUCCGAUCAGGGAGUAUUCCGAAAGAGUACCAUCUCCCGCAUCCAGAUGUGUUGGAGGUCAGUCCCAAAGUGCCGAAGAGGAAGAGGGUUUCUAUUUCGCAGUCAGACUGCGAUUUCAUCACACCGGUGAAGAAAUUCAGUAGUGAACUAGCAGCGAUAACAAGAGAGGUCGGUGGGAAGCUGAUGAUGUUGAUAACCCACCCAUAAAAAAAUGGGUCAAACAGAUUAACAGACUCAAAUCUGAUUUUCAUUUUUUGACAUCUUUAGUUUGUUCCAAUCAAUAGUACGCCAAAUCAUCUUCCGAAAUGGCAAGCAACCCAUUUCCGAAAUGGCAAGCAACCCUUACCAGGAGAGAAGGAAGGGUAUAGCGUGGUCUGAAGAUGAACACAGGUUGUUCCUUCUUGGGCUUGAUAAGUACGGGAAGGGAGAUUGGAGGGAGCAUAUCGCGAAAUUUCGUCGUCUCAAAAACACCCACGCAGGUGGCAAGUCACGCGUAGAAAUACCUCUGUAUAUAUUAUAGCCGUUGUCGGAUACCUCUGUAUAUAUUCUUCCUCUUUCUCGCCCUUCCGGUGUUGCCAUAUUUCAGCACCGUCACCGUUGCCGAUAUUUCUGCAUCAAAAACAAAAACCAAAUGAAACCCAAUUCCUGAAAUCCAUCAAUAUAUAUAUAUAUAUAUGAUCAAUUACCAACCGGAUCUUGUUGCGAAAGCCAAGGGUUUAACAGCAGAAGACUCGUCUUCAUCUGAGUCAUCAUUGAAAUCCUCGAAGUCGGCUUCAAAGUCGGCAUCGAGAGGGUCAUCGGCGAGAAUAGCAGUGAGAGAUUCAGAUGGGGGAAUGCCAACCAGACCGUUCACCAUCACCACCUUGCAAACCCAUCGCCGUCUUCUCCUUGUCUUUCUUUCUAGGACAACAAAACACAGAGGAUAACGAGGCAGGAAAGGGAGGGCGAUGGGUGGGUUCUUUUUCUGCCCGUUACUGACAAUGGCAUGGAAAGAAAAUUUAAAAAAAAAUUAAGGGUAAAAUGGUCAUAAAAAUUAUAGGUGGGUAGUUUUAACUCCUAAGCAACCUUAGGUGGUUAGAUUUAACAAUUUUCCAUAAUAUAAAUAUGUAUAUGUACUAACCUAGAUGACUCGAUUAACCAAGUCAUGUCAACCCUUGUAGUAUGGUGGUGAGCAUAGUAAAAUUAACAGUAAUAUAUAUAUCCCAAAAUCUUCUCUUAAUUACAAUCAUACCCUCUAGCUCACCGUUGUAUUUCCGACCGUUGCGCAUCACCUCCAAACUACCAUUAUAUAAACCGACCUUCACCUCCUUCAAUUUCACCAAUACAAUCUAUCAAUUAAGCACACGACGAUCAUCAUCUACAAUACAACACCACGAUCAUCGUCAACUAGCAUUCAUCAUCGUAAUAUUCCCGUGCAUGCCUUCCAUCACUGUCGCCGCUGCACUUCUGCAUCAUUGUCGUCGUCGCUGCAUUUUCUCAUCGUCGUCGUAGCUGCACUUCUUCAUCACGUCGUCACUGCACUUCGCCAUCAUCUUCGUAGCAGCUCUUUCAUGGUAUCAGAGCGGACCGCGUGAUCUUGCUCAGAAUAAUCACUAUCGUCUUUCGUCAGAAACAACAAAAACAAUCGGAAGUCUGUUCCCAGAUCGUGACUCCAGAUUUUCAGAUCGUCUUUUCUUUCUUUCUCAGAUUUCCAGAUCGCAGAUUUUUUCCAGAUUCCAACGAUCGCAUUUUCUCUCUCUUCUAAAUACCAGAUCGCAGCUUCGAUUAUAGGUCGAAGCUCCAGAUCGAGACUCCAGAUUUUCAGAUCUCAUUCUCAAAUCAAAUACCAGUUGUCCGUGUCCGUGACUGCUGAUUUAUUUUUAUUUUUUUUCACCCUCCACCGCCUCCCUUUUUGGGUUUCUUUUGGCUCCAGAUCGUGACACAUCAACACUUUGGGAUUUUUUUUUAUCACCACCAAAUCAAAAAAAAAAAUCACACUUUGGAUUUUUUUUUAUCAACCACAAACUCCAAAAUCAACUACUAAUACCAACACACCGACGACCAAUAUAUUACCACAUCGACGACACCUAACGACCAUUACAUCCGAAAUGGCAACUGCUGAAGAAGCAAUAUUGAAUUCAGAAAACUCCUAUCACCUAUCAAGCGGUGACAACCCAAGUCUACAAAUGACAGACAUUAAAAUGAAUGAAACAAAUUAUCAAAUUUAGGUUAUCCACUUCCGACGAGCUUUGUCUAAUAAAAAUAAAUUAAGUUUCAUCAACGGGAGCCUACCAGAACCAACAGAUAAAGACCCAAAAUACAACGCAUGGAAUCGCUGCAACGAUUUAGUAAUCGCAUGGAUGUUAAAAAGCAUGGAACCAUCACUCACUAAUGAUUAUCUCUAUCAAACAAACGCUUCUGUUUUAUGGGAAAAGUUCAAAAGUAGGUACGAAGUUACAAGCAUCUUCAAUCGCUAUGAAUUAAAACUGAAACUGACCCAAUGCUGUCAAGGGAAUGAGACGAUCGCCCAAUACUCUACAAGGCUAAAUGCGAUUUGGGAUGAAUUGGAAAACCAGAAGAGUAAAAAAUGUCAAUGCUGCAUAUGCACCGCUGACUGCAAAGAAGAUAAGAUCAUAGCACUUCUGGAAGGUUUACACGAAUCUUACAAAACCGUACGGGGUAACAUUCUCAUGAUGACACCAACUCCGGACAUUGACCAAAUCUACAAACUCCUCUCUCAAGAAGAACAUCAACGGGGAAUAUCAUCAACACCCACAAUCACUUCUGAAUCCACAACACUUUUCACACAAAAGAAAUCAACAUACAAAACACCAACCACCAAUAACGGACAAGUCUGUACAGGAUGCAAAAUGCCGGGACACAUCGUCGACAACUGCUACUUCUUACAUGGAUUUCCGAAAGGGCAUCCGCUCCAUGGGAAAGUCUUCACCCGGCGCGAAAAAAAUCACAACAAAGACGACCGACGAGAUGACACUAUGGAUAAUCGUCGCUCCUACAACCAACGUGACAACCGACAUACGACUGAUCGCAAUCACAAUAGCAACAACUAUCUGAGUAACACAACGGAAAAUGCCUCUGAAACAAACAACGUCAGGACAACAUCAAGCAACCCGAUCUCCACAUUAAUACAACAACUAUCAAACAUAUUGUGACUUCUCAACAAUCAACAAAACAAUGCUGCUCCACCGGAUAACAAAAGCUACUCCGACCACGCAGGAUAUUUUGGAGGACGAACCCCCGUCGAUUUGACACCUGCAUCUCAAUCUUAUAUGGCACAUUCCACAACAGGUAUACCUCAUCCAUUUUUCCAUACUCAAUACUUAGCUUUUUCAUUGCACAAUCUGGAUUGUAGAUACAGGCGCAACCGACCACAUGGUUAUACCACAAACUACAUUACAUAACAUUCAACCACUCCCAAAAUCAAUUAAAGUUGGUUUUGCGGAAGAUCGCACAAUAACAGUUACUACAAGUGGGUCUUUCCAAAUAUCCAAGGAAAUAGUCCUACACAGUGUUUUGCAUAUACCAACAUUCACUGUGAAUCUUUUAUCUGUCAGCCAAUUCACACUCCAAACAAACUGUAGUUUCUCCUUCUAUCCUAAUUCCUUCAUAAUACAGAAUGCCCAAGGAACAUUGAUUGACACAGGUAAGAGAAUCAGUGGACUAUACAUCCUGUCAGUAGCCGACUUCAACAAAAUGAUGGCUACUACACCAUCACACGCUCUAAUUUCUAGCACAAAUCCGGAUACGUGGCAUGCAAGAUUAGGCCAUCCUUGUCCCACCAAGUUUCGUUUUUUUCACAUUAUUAAUCCUUAUAUUCCUCAACAAAAUGAUAUAUUUUGUCAUGAUUGCACUAUUUCUAAACAAAAAAGAUUACCUUUUCCAUUAAGCACAUCUAAAAGUAAAGAACCACUUGAAUUAAUACACAUAGAUACUUGGGGUAAAUAUCAUACCCAACUCAUCAUGGACACACCUACUUCCUCACAAUAGUAGAUGAUUUCUCUAGGUUGACCUGGAUUUUCUUAUUACACAAUAAGCUUGAGAUUACAUCGUUUUUUUCUCAAUUCAUCAUUGAUUGCCAAACUCAAUACAACAAAAGGAUACGUACAAUUCGAACUGACAAUGGAACCGAGUUUACCAACUCUACAUUUCAAGAUACAAUUCGAAAAUAUGGAAUCCUACAUCAAUUAUUUUGCCCCUACACUCCCCAACAAAAUGGGAGAGUAGAAUGGAGAAACACCAACACAUCUUACAGGUGGCAAGAUGCCUCAAAAAUAAGGACUCUAUUCCUGAUAUCUAUUGGGGUGAAUGCGUUAUGACAUCAGUUUACCUAAUCAAUCGCACUCCCACCCCAAUACUCAAUGACUCAACACCUUUCUUUGAGUUUUUCGGAACGCAAUCUGCUCUUACACACCUAAGAGUUUUCGGUUGCCUCUGCUAUGCCAAAAUCAACCAUCCCAUCACAAAAUUCCAACUUAAAUCACAGAAAGGAGUGUUUUUGGGUUACUCUUAUCACAACAAAGGAUAUAAAGUUCUCAAUCUUGACACCUCCAAAAUCAUUGUCAGCCGUGAUGUGAUCUUUAAGGAGGAUUCUUUCCCAUUCCACAACACCACUUCCGCAACAGAUCAGACAGAAAUCGUUGAUAUUUCCUUUGAUUUUGGUGACCCUUAUAUCUAUAAGGACGACCUGGCAAUACAACCAAGAGCUAGUAUUAUAGAAAAUGAACAUCGAUCUGAACAAUCUAGAACAGACCCAAGAGCAUCUAGUUACUCCAGAACAAGAACACCAUAGUGAGGAAGAACGACCAACUCUAACAGCACAUCCAACCACAUCAAACAUAAAUGAAAUAAAUAUCGUAGAAACCAUAAGAGAACGAAAACUCCCAACAUAUCUUCAUGAUUAUGAGGUCAACAUACCUGAUGAAGCACUGAAUUUGCUACUAGGGCUCGCAGUAUACCAACAUAUGAGCGAAAUCCUAUGAGCAUAUCGGACAACGAGUAAAAACCCCACGGGCAACACCCCUUUCGCUAUGACCUAUGGAGUGGAAGCAGUCAUACCAAUCGAGAUGAGUAUACCAACAUAUCGAGUCUCGAAGUACGACGAACAAACAAAUGACCAAAACCUAGCUACAGAGGUAGAGUUGAGGGAUGAAACCCGUGACGAGACGAACCUGCGGAACGAAUCAUACAAGGCAAGCGUAUCAAGGUACCACAAUCGUCAAGUACGCAAAAAAGUCUUCCUACCAGGAACUCUCGUCACGCGGAAAGCUAGCAUAACAGAAAGGAAUAGACCAAGAAAUAAACUGUCAUCCAACUUCGAAGGUCCCUACAUCGUCGAAAAGGAGAUAAGGCCAGGAACUUAUCGCCUACGGCGACAGGAUGGAACAAUGGUUCCAAACACUUGGCACGCGGACAACAUGCAGCAGUACGCAUAGUACUCAUCACAUUACGUUUAUUUUCUUUAAUUUUCCUAGUAUGUAUGUUAGUUAAUCAUAGAAUUCUUUCUUCAUAUUAUAACCCGCAAGGAUACCCUAAAAAAUCUAUUUUGUCGCUUCGGCCUCAGUAUAACAAGGAUCAUUCCGUCGCUACGGCUUCAAUGAUCCUAUCCCAUCUUGUCGCUUCGGCCUUGAUACGGAUCAACAAGUCACUCCAUCACUAGGACCAGAGUCAGACUACAUCCUCAAGGUUCAAAUCCAGGGUUAGUACGAACAGGUCCAAUUUAGGCAUGCAAGCCUAGAAUUGCAACCACAACCCUCAUUCGCACGGACGAAUAAGGAAUUAGUGGGUGUUACAUCAAUUUAUCACUCAAACUAUUUUCAACUCUAAAAGUUAAUUUAGAAGUAUAAAUCAUUUUCGAGUUUAACUAGCAACUAAACUACGAUUUGUACGACCAAGCUUAUGCCUGAAGCGGCUAAGUAGAGUUAGCAGAAUCUAACUUACAUCCAGAGCGGUUAAGUUAUGAUUUGUGAAUCUAGUUUCAAGCUUACAACUUUAAAAUAUUUAUACAAAAAAUUAACAAAAGCAAAAUAGUUCAUUGAUUGAUAAAAAUAACAAAAAAUCCACUACAAAAUUACAAAAAAUCCACUUUAAGUCUAAUCUUCUUCUUUCCUCGCUUCCCGAACAUCGCUCUUUAUCUUAUCAAGAGCUUCUUUGUGCUCCAGCUUCACUUCAGGAUGUUCUUCUAGCCACAUCAUAAUAUCAGUCACAAAGUUGGCAGGCAAACUUGGAAACACGUGAGGACCAAAAAAGUUUAAGUCCUGGAGUUGGUCAAAUUGAUCGUCAACCUCAAACUCCAAAUCCUUCACUUUUUCAGAAGAAGCAUCUAGAUCUUCUUUCAUCUUUCUCGACUCCUCCGUGGAUUCGGAGAAGCGGUCAUUCAGAUCCUUUAGGUCAGAGGUGGACUUGGAAAGAUCUACUUGAAGCUUCUGAAUUUGUGAUUUAGAAGCCAUCGCAUUGCCAACCUCCGCAUUCAGCUGCACUUUCAGUUCUUCAAUCUCUUUCAGAGCACCAGUGAGACGCGAUUCAGAUUCCUUCAAAGAGUCACAUUCUUGGCGAAGAGUAGAAAUCUCAAGUCUGUGUGUGCCACACUCUUUAUCCUUCGCCAUCAUCGCUUUCUCAUGCUCAGCAGCUUUUUCUUCCAAUUUUUUGUUGUUUUGGAAGACUUUUCUCAUCGACCACACUUUUUUACAGACAGCUUGAUACUUGUCAUCAAGCUUAUCAUAUUCUUGUUGGGAUCGAAACGUGUCGUUACAUGACUGCAUCCCAACAGCAACAUUCGAUAGAUACGCAACCUACAAAAAAAACAAUUAAAUUAGCACAAAAAUACAUAAGUUAAAUAAGAUGCGAGUUUAGGUCACUUACAGCAGAUAGAGCUUUAGUGAGCUCCUCUCGUAUCCAAUCUCCAGGCUUGGUCAAUAAGAUCUGGGUAGCCCUCGAUCGCACCUCCGCAUCCGCAAACAGGCUCGGAUAGUCAAAGGUGGUGUCACAUCAGAGAAGGUAAAAUCCUCACGCUAACACAAAGCGAAAGGAAACCCUUGACCACAUUUGUAAGCAGCAAGGGCUGAGGAGAUCUUCUUCACAUGCUUUAAUUCCGCCUUACUCAGUUCGCAAGGAACAUCCAAGUGUACGCGCCGAGUGUUGGCCCAGCCCUCUCGACUCCCGCGUACAAACAUCUAGUCAACAAAAAAGAACUCACUCUUCCACUGCGGUCCAUAGUUAGUGGGGAGUUCAAUGAUCAAUUCACGCCCAUGAAACCGUUUAGCUAACCCCAACCGACCAGAUUCGGAAGCGGGAGCCUUGACAAGUUUGUAGACCCAGAAAAACAAGGCAGCGGUUGCAGGGAUAUUCAAACUCCAACAGAUGUUGGAGAAUCCUCUCAAGUAUAUAAAGAAUGCUGCCUGCAUCUGUGACUGCGAUACGCCAGCUUGUAGCAGCACUUCACUCAUCAGUAUAGGGAUGGGUAGCACGGAGAAGUGUCUGAAGUAGAGUCGGGGGAUCGCCUGAAACCCCGCAGGAGGAAGGUUCGCAGGUUGAUAUUGCGACCCCCAAAAUCGCAAGCGCCCAGAGAUGCGUACCCCUCGCAGAAUGUCUCGGGCUUCGCGUGCAGACAUGACAGAAAAUGGAUGCACGGUGUCUGUUUACGAUACAAGGGGAGAAUUUAAAGAGACUUCUUCAAAGGACCCCUCGCUCGCGUCGCUUAGGGGCAGCAGCUUAAUCUCAUCACCCGGCAAAGUUUCACAGUAAGCGUAGCCGGUGUAGUUCUCAACUCCCUCAUAGAAGGGAAGGUUAAUAUGAUCUUCAUCCUUGUCCACUUCCGUGGGAGGAGGAAGAGUCUUCGAUCCUUCAGCCGGAUCAGGUCGACGUUGGCUUCAACCGCGGUCCAAUUCCAAUUCCUGAUCGUAGUCAAAGGGCUCAGGAACCCGUACACCCUUCGCGAGGGGGAUGUGUGUCUUUCCCUUACCCCCCAUCCCAUAAGUGGGAGGAAUGGGGGUACUACCCUCGCCACCUUCGCGAGAAGAGUUCUUCGCAUGUUUUGGAUGUUUUCGUUUUCUUUUCUUACUCGGCCUCUCAGAUUCAGCAGUCGGCCUCUUGCCCAUGUCAGUAGAUGUCAAUCCCUCAGUAUGGGUGACCAAAACAUCAGGUACCACCACCUGAAGGGGCACAUAUUCUUCAACAUCAGCCCCCGAGUUUUGGGGUAAUGUCGGCGAUUUAAGUGUCAAAUUCGUCGAUGUUUGAUCAGAACUCGCCGAUCUCAGGUUGAUAACUCGGCGAGGUCUCUUGAAAAUGGGGACACCCCCCUUGCCUUUAGUCGACGACUUCCCAAGGGGACUCGCCGAUUUAGGAGCAAGAGUCGAGGGAGUCUCGCCCACUUCAACAGAAGGCUCGGCCACUACUAGAGCCUCGAAGUCUUUUCCCAAACUCGCCGAUUUCUUGUUAGAACUCGGCGAUUGCUCGGGAGUGAGACCAAGCAACUCACGUGCAGUGGCACAAUACCUAGCGUCCGACAAUGCAUCAACAGCCGGAAUCUCCGACCCACCACGCGUAGGCGAGGGGAUCGGAGACUCAACGGUGUUGAGCACCGCCGCUAGGCUCUCAUCAAAGUCUGUGUUCAGAAUGUCGUCGACCAGAGCUUCGGUCUCCGACAUGGUGAGCUGAGGAAGUGUCGCUUUGUCUUCCAUAAGUCGGCGAUUUAAAGAGAAACUCGGCGACUUGGUGGAAGAUUAGUGUUUAGGCGAUUUGGGGAAAAUGAUGUGCGAAUUAAAAUAAUCGAUUCGCUAUUUAUAGACCCUGGACAAAUUGCAAAACUCCCUCGAAAAAUCCAAAAAUUACGCGAAGGAAAAUCGCUCAUUGAUCCUCAAAUCUCCAAAACUCGGCGAGUUACCCAUAAACUCGCCGAGUUUAGGCAAAAAUCACGGGAUACGGAAGGGAAACUUCCAUAUUUGGAAAAUUUGCAAAUAUUUCCCAAGAUCCCAUGGAUUUUCUAAGAAAUCCGCCAGCUCAUAGUAAGGAUCUCUGAAUUUGUAAGAAAGUCGCCGAUCCAGGUAGGCAAACUUUUAAGUUGCCCACAAAACCACCCCGAUGCCAAGUCGCCGAGUUAGAACGUUAAGUCGCCGACUUAGGGUAUCACAUAGCAUCUUAGGGGGGAGUAUCACAAGCUCCCUUCAGCGCAACAAAAGAAGAGUAUCACAAGCUCUCCCGACAUUUUUGUCGCUCCGGCCGGAAAUCGUCAAACUUCGAGGGGGAGUAUCACAAGCUCUCCCGACAUUUCUGUCGCUUCGGCGGGAAAUCGUCAAAUUUCGAGGGGGAGUAUCACAAGCUUUCCCGACAUUUCUGUCGCUCAGGCCGGAAAUCGUCAAACUUCGGGGGGGAGUAUCACAAACUCUCCCAACAUUUCUAUCGCUUCGGCGGGAAAUCGUCAAAUUUGGGGGGGGGGGGUAUCACAAGCUCUCCCGACAUUUCUGUCGCUUCGGCGGGAGAUCGUCAAAUUUCGGGGGGGAGUAUUACAAGCUUUUCCGACACUUCUGUCGCUCCGGCCGGAAGUCGUCAAAAUAAGCACGGUAAAUCUGUCGCUUCGGCGAGAUUUACCAAGGAUUGGUUCGAGCAAAAGGAGAAUACCACGAGAGGUAAAAUCGCACGGUAAGUUCAAUUGGUCAAUAAUCAUAUGCGUUUUAAAAUGAUCUAGUUGUUUUGCAGGAUGUUUUCUUUAUGCAGGUAUUAUUCUGUCGUUUCAGCCAGAAUCAGACUCUGAUAGUGAGUCAAUCUAUCUUGUCGCUUUGGCCUUGAUAGACUAGAGAUCAUUUUGUCGUUUUGGUCUUAAUGAUCUCAACCCAUCUUGCCGCUUUGGCCUUGUUGUGGACAUAAAGUCGCUCUUGAUCAGGGUGGACUAUAAACAUUAGUUCUAUCGCUUCGGCUAGAACUCAGUUCUAUCGCUUUGGCUAGAACCCGAUUUUGUCGCUUCGGCCAGAAUCAAGUUUUGUCGCUUCGACCGGAAUUCAUCUUGUCGCUUCGGCCUUGAUAAACACAGUGCAGUCGCUUUUGAUCAGGGUUAGACUAUAAACAGGUAGUUCCGUUGGCCUGGAACUCGAUUUUGUCGGUUCGACCCGGCAGAGUCAAUCUAUUUGUCGCUUAGGCCAUAAUGGAUACAGAAUCAGUACGUCACUGUGGGCGGAAUGAUUCGAUCUAUCUUGUCUCUUUGGUCUUGAUGCGGAUCACACAUAGAACCUUGGUUGGGGCGGGGAACUGGCGAUACAUGCAUGUUUCUUGUGCUCUCUUCAGGGGGGAGUACUGGUGAGACAUGCCUGAUUACGGCAGUCACUCCCAGCAACGUCUUUCAACAAGGACUAGGGUUCUGUCACUUUACGCCGGACCCCAGUAGAGCUCACAUGGUGCAGAAUAAGUUCAUCGUCCAAAUCGCCGAGUUAACCCGUAAGUCGCGAUUGGACUACCAAGUCGCUGACUUUAGGGAAAAAUCGCUGAGUUAGGGCCCAGAUCGGAAGUAUGGCAGACUGCACAUCUCGCCCCUGGAAACUCGGUGAGUUUGCCCUAAACAAGCGAUUUCCAUACCUGAAUCGCUGACUUACGACCGUUACUCGUCACCAGCCAACGCCAUAAAUGCUCCCAUAUAUGGCAAUAGGCUCGAUGUCCGCCUUUGAUCGCGCCCUCCGAGACCCUAUAAAAAGGGUCCCAAGGGGACACUCAAAGGCAAAACACAAGUUCCACUCUCACCAGAGCAUCACUAAGAAACUCGCCGAUUCUCACUAGAAUCGCCUAGUUUCUACUUGCAGGUAUUUGACGUAGAGCGCGUGUCGUGGACUCCAGAGCCUACGACAUCACCUCGCACCACCGCGAGCCCUGGUAGCAGAUUCAGUGUUUCAUCAACGGGCGUACAUGGACCGCUUCGCGAGUGAGGUGCAGAAAAUCGAAGGGCUAACGGAAAACGUGAUCUUGUACGCCCUCACUAACAGACUUAGGCCUACCUUCUUUGCGGGAGACCUCGUCCGGAAGCCACCGAAGAAAUUCGCAGAGGCCAUGGAGAGGUCCCACGGGGAAGCCAAUGUGGAGGAGUACUUGGGAGCGAGAACACAGGAGUUCAACAAGCGCCAACAAAAACCCAAGGGACCCCCAGCCGGAGACGGAGGGCACCAACAGCAACAACCGAAAGCCCCAGCAGCACCGGCGGCGUUGGCAUGCAAGGCCCCAGCGGCCAUUGGUUGGGGCCUUCGAGACGCAGGACCGACUCUGGCUGCUAACCAGUGGUAGUUUUUCCUCACCCUAGGAGGGGUGGGGAACCUCUCCCCAGCAAGAUCCAUGAGGAAGGACUCAGCAGGAUAUAGGGACGAGAGCAGAUUCUGCGAGUACCACCAGGACAAGGGCCACACAACCGACGAGUGCCUGAACCUGGCCAAGGUAUUAGGCAAACUCAGCGCCGCGCCUGAGGCCCCCCCGAUCCCGCCUAUCAGGAGGGCGGCGGUCAUCCCGACCGGCCAUCGAGUGUCCAAACAGGAGCUGGUCGAGGAACUAGUAGGGGAUAUCCUGACAAUAGCAGGAGGAGGCGCGUCCUGCGGCGCGGACCCAUGGGAGGGAUGCUGGUACGCCACGGACGUCGAUCGAACAACCGAAGGGAAGCACCCACGCCUGGAGGCGGAGAUCACGUUCACCGAGACGGACAUGAAGGACGUCACGACCCCCCACGAUGAUCCCCUGGUAGUAACCCCCGUCUUACAAAGGGGGGACAAGACCAAAGUGCGAUUACACAGGGUCCUAGUGGAUAUGGGGGCAUCAGUGGACAUCCUCUACUGGAACGCCUUCAUUGACCUAGGCCUCGCCCGCACGGACCUACUCCCAAGCAGGGCGUCAAUUAGGGGAUUCGGGUAGUCAGAAGUACCGAUGGCUGGUGUGAUAACAAUCCUGGUGACACUAGGACGCCACGCCCAGGAAAAAACGGUGGAAAUCAACUUCACGGUGGUAAAUUUCACCUCGAGCUACAACACCAUCCUGGGAAGAACAGCGUUGCACGCAUUCCAGGCAGUGAUGUCGUCCCUCCACCGAUGCCUAAAAUUCCCAACCAAGGCGGGCGUAUGCAUGGUGAGGGGGUCUCAGAAAAAAGCCCGCGAGUGCUACUUCAACUCAGUAGGGGAGGUGAUGACCUCGGACGAGGGGCUCUCACGCGCUCUACGUGAGGAGCCCCCGAAACCGGAGCAUGCGUCAAACACGGUGCUCUUACCCCUCGCCCGGAGAAAGGUGCGUAUGGGAAAAGGCCUCCCGAAGGAGCUGGAGAGGGGCCUAGAGACCCUCCUCAGAAGACACGAGGAUCUAUUCGCGGCCGAGCUAGGAGAACUGGUGGGAGUAGGCCAGGCACGACCGGUCCGACAAAAGCUGCGACCAUUGAGGGCGGAGAAAAGGGACGUGGCCGAAGCCGAGGUCAUGAAACUCCUGGAUGCGGGCUUCAUCCGGCCGGUGCGAUACCCGGAGUGGCUGUCCAAUGUCGUGAUGGUCAGAAAGGCGGAUGGAGGAUGACACACCCGGAGGAGUGUCGGUCGACGUUGGCCGGAGCGAAGUCGACGAGAACGGAAACACGAGGAAGACAGAGAUUAAUAAUAAUUUUUACUUGUAUUUAGUUCAUCGUUUUUAUGGAUUUUAUAGGGUCGCCCUUAUGUAAAUCGUGGGAUCGACCUUUUACAAUCAACCCACGAAGGGGUGUAACUGCCAUCAUGUAACCUAUUAAUAUUACAGAUAAUAUCUCCAGCUAUUGGAGCAGUUUCUUCCAAUAACCGCUGCCACCCUCUUCCCUAAUACCUCAGGGCCUGGGGUGUAAUUAACCUCGACUAAUUAUUAGUGAAUUUGCUGCCCGUAUAUUACACCUGGUACACGUCGUGCGCGGGCGGAACUCUUUGUGGUCGCUUGGGCAGUUGUCUGUUGAGGUCGCCGGUCGUAUCAAUCCCCGUCUCCUUAGUUUCGAGCUUGUCCUCAAGAUCGACUAAGUCUUUAGGAAGUAAUGCGACCUCCAUGGACUCUCCUGGAAUGAAUUUCUUCAGCAGAGACGAGUGAAAAAUAUUAUGAAUUCUCGCUCCCGUUGGUAAUUGCAGACAUACUGCAACCUCGCCUAUCUUCUCUGUAAUUGGGUUAUGGCCCAAAAAAUUUCCGUUCUAGCUUGUUUGAAUUCCAAGCAGGUACCGAGUUUUGCCUAUAUUUGUUUAGUUUCACCAAUACCAUAUCACCGACUUCAAACUUGGCGUCUGAACGCCGAUGAUCUGCCUUCUUUUUCAUGUCUUCCAUCGCUCUGUUUAGAUUUUGUUUCGCGAGCAGCAAAGCUUCCUCUCUAUUCUUUAUCGUAACGCCCGCUUCUCUGUCCUCUAGUGGGUUGUCUUCGUAGUAGAACGCAUGUGGUUUUCGACCAUAUACUAGUUCGAAGGGUGUCGUCCCUGUUGAUGAAUGCUUGCUAGUGUUGUAUCAUAGCUCGGCGGUGGAUGAAUUUUGCCCAAUCUUUAGGUUUGUCCAUCGCGAAACAUCUCAGAAAUUGCUGUAAACAUCGGUUCACGACUUCCGACUGCCUGUCGGUUUGUGGGUGGUAGGCUGAGAUGUGUAGUAAUUUUGUUCCAUGUUGUCUAAAAAUAGAUUUCCAGAAGCUGUUUAGAAAAAUUGGGUCGCAGUCUGACAAUAAGCUCUUCGGGAACCCAUGUAGGCGGAUAACCUCCUUGGAGAAUAGCUCAGCUACUGUGUUCGCAGUGAAGGGAGUUGCCAUUGAGAUGAAGUGGCUUGCCUUGCUUAGGCGGUCGACGACAACCAAGAUUGCUGUUUUCCCCAACGACGGAGGCAGAUGGGUUAUAAAGUUCAUCAUGAUCUCCUCCCAGACGGCCAUUGGUGUCGGUAAUGGUUGAAGUAACCCAGCGGGUUUGGAAUUGGUCGGUUUAACGGCUUGGCAGAUCGCACAUUCCCUUAUCCAUUGCUUUACCUCUUCAACCAUCCCUUUCUAGUAAAAGUUCCUUGAGAGUCUCGCAAGUGUUUCCUUCUGUCCGGAGUGACCCCCAAUCGGAGUGGUAUGUGUUUCGGAAAAUACCAAUUUGCGUAUAUCUUAGUUGUUGGGUAUCACGAUUGUAUCUUUGUACAAUAUUAAAUCUUUCCUGAUCGAAAAAAUUUGGGUUGCUGUCUUCGUCUGUCAUGAUUGAAGCUCUCAGUUUUCGGUAGUCCUCGUCGGAGUUUCCUGCUUCACUGAUCUCAUUUAAAAUCGAGGACAUCGGUAGUGAGAUGAUGUUCAAUUUUGGUUGAGUGUCCUCUGUCCCUUCGCCGCGCCUUGACAGUGCAUCGGCUACCGUGUUGAUUUUCCCUGGACGGUAGACGAUGUUGAAGUCGUAGCCUAGGAGGUUUUUCAGAUAUUUUUGUUGUUCUGGCGUCUGGACUCUGUGUCACUAACUCUUUCAAGCUCUGAUGAUCUGUGAUAAUGGUGAACAGACGGCAGACUAGAUAAUGCCUCCAUUUCUUCACGACUUCGACGAUGGCUGACAUUUCCUUCACGUAGGCGGACCCGUGUCGCAAAUUCGGAGGGUACCUCUUGCUGAAGAAUGACAGCGGGUGUCCUUGCUGUGUCAAGACGGCUCUCAUUGCAAACCCGGAGGCAUCUGUUUCCACGUUGAAAUGCUCCUUGAAAUUGGGUAGUUUUAGGACCGGUGUAGUUGUGAGUGCCUGUUUGAGUACUAAGAAUGAUGACGCAGCUUCCGGUGACCACGCGAACUUGUCCUUACAGAGCAAGUCUGAUAGCGGUGUGGCUAUGGAUGCAUAUCCUCGAACAAAUCUUCGGUAGUAACCGGCGAGGCCCAGGAACCCCCAUAGUUGUUUUACCGACGUUGGGGCCGGCCAUUUGGAGAUGGCUUCGAUCUUCGAUGGGUCAACCGCGACACCAUCUGAUGAAAUCCGAUGACCCAAAUACGAGAUGGAGCUAAGUGCGAACUCGCAUUUGGAUCUGUUUACUACCAGGUUGUUCUCCGUUAACGUUGCUAAUGCAAGGCGGAGGUGGCUGAGGUGGGAUACCCAAUCUUUGCUAUAAAUAAGUAUAUCGUCGAAAAAAACCAUUACCGAUUUUCUCAGUUGACUCUUGAAGACGACGUUCAUCGUCGACUGGAAUGUCGACGGCACGUUGCAGAGGCCGAACGGCCUCGUAAUGUCCUUCUGGGGUACGAAAUGUUGUCUUCUCUAUCGAGGAUGGUGAGACUCGAAUCUGGUGGAACCCGGCUUUCAAAUCAAUUUUAGAAAAAAAUGUAGCACCGUUGAGCUCGUCGAAAAUUUCGUCGAUCGUCGGGAUAGGGUAGGCGUUUUUGAUGGUGAUAUCGUUGAGGGCGCGGUAGUCGACGCAAAACCUCCAGGUUCCAUUACUUUUUCGUACUAGGAUGACUGGCGACGAAUAUGGGGACCGGCUGGGUUGUAUGAUUCCGUCGGCGAUCAUGCUGUCUACUAAUCGUGAUAUCUCUGCCUUUUGGAAGUAAGGAUACCUAUACGGUCACACUUUAACUGGUCCGGUACUGGGGUGGAUGUUUAUCUCAUGGUCGGCGUCUCUCUGUGGUGGUAGUCCGCGUGGUGCAGCGAACACAUCUGAAAAGUAAUCCAAGAUCACUUGGACGGCUGGCAAUUCAUGCUGGUCAACUUGAUGGCUGGACAGCUGCAUAUCCGGUAGGUGAUUGAUCUUUAUGAAGAAUAGCUGAUCGCAGCCUGGGGCAUACACUUCUUUGGACAUUUUUGAGGUUAUCAUCUUGCGAGCAGUGGGUGGCAUGUCAAUGAUUGUUUUGGUUUCCACUCCGUUACCGAAAGUCAGGGACCUCUCUUCAUAGUCGAAUGUUACUCUCUUUAACUUCUCCAGCCAGGCCACCCCCAAAAUCGCGUCCGACCCAUGAAACGGUACCACGUGGAAGUCGACGGCGAAGGUUGAAGAACCCAUCGUGACUAGUACUGCUCGGCAUACUCCUCGACAUUCCAUGGUGUGGCCACUCCCCACUAAAACUUCAAAUCUUGCCGUGGUAUCGAUUGGCAGCUCCAGUGAUCGAGCCCAACGUCCGUGUAUGAAAUUUAGAUUGGCCCCGAAGUCCACGAGUAUUUGUAAUGUUGAUCCCUUGAAUCUUGAUAACUCCUUCCACAUUAAUUGUUCGUGGGGUUCUUACUCCCACCAGGACAUGUAUUGAAACUCCUGAUUGGUCUUCUUCUUCUACCGAUUCUUUUUGGUUCUGGAUCGGCUGCAACUCUGUUUCUUCUCCUUCCCAUGUACCCGAUUUCUGUUGCCUCCAGACAUAGGACUCUUCCCGGAGUCUUACACGUGUGGCCCCUAUGGAAGCGUUCUUCGCAGUUGAAGCACAGCCCGGCAUCCCGGCGUCUCUGUUUCUCUUCCAUGGUGAGAGAUUUGGCCCCCGGGGGUAGCGCUCGGCGGUUAGUGGAGGAUUCCCCCUUCUGGAAUGUUUUGAAGACUGUUUUAUUGGGCGCGACCUUCCAUUCCUGCAGCAAGGCUCUAUUUUUAGCUUUCAGUACUGUGGUUGGGUUGAAUUAUUCUAUUUCCUACCGUAUUUCUGUUUUCAAUCCAAAGAUAAACAAUUUGACUUUGAAUUGGGAACUAAAACCUUGUACCCUGUUAGUCAAUUCUUCGAAUUCUUUAAUGUAUUCUUCGACAGUUGUCUUUUGGCGAACUCGCGUGAACGAACUGAGGUGAUUCGUGCAGGCGGCCCUGGGAUCGAAGCGUGAGGUGACGAGUGAGCACAAUUCCGACCAUGAGUUAAUAGGGCCUUCCGCUCGCUGGUAACGGAGCCACUUCGACGCAUCUCUUUCUACGUUAAACGUUGCUGCUCCCACCUUCUGGUGCUCUGGGGUCGAGUGGAAGAGAAAGAAUUCUUCACACCGGUGUAUCCAGCCGUGUGGGUCCUCUCCGUUGAACCUUGGAAAUUCAAAACUCCAUUUUAUCGGGAAUGGAGGCUGAGAUUGGUAUUCUGAAGAUGCGUUUGGUAGAACGACGUUCCUUGGUGGGUAUUGUGGAUUUGUUGGCGGGUACGGUGGUGGUGGUGGAAGGUGAAUUCUUGGAUACUGGAGUAUCGACCCUUGCAGUGGCAUCGGUGUCGUCGUAUUCAGGUUAGUUGUCAUCGUGAACUGUGGAUGAGUUUGGGGUGACGACGACGCGAUGGUUUGUUGGCUGGUUACUGUGACGUGCGCACUUGGAGACAUCUGGACGUGCCCUAAGGUCUGGAACGGUAGUUGUUCCCAAGGGUGCCUUCCUUAGUUCCCAUUUAGCUCCAAACGAUCGAGGAUCGAGGCGAGCCUGUUCUCCAAGUUGGUUAAGGAGUCGUCGGAUGGAAUGGUCGCUGCCUCCAGUCGGCUGCGUAAGUUUCCAGUGAUUGUUGAACCGUCUAGCGGGCUAGAUUGCUGGUGUCCUAUGGAUGAUGGAGGAGUUGUGGAAUUCAUUGAAAGCACCAAAUUACACACCCGGAGGAGUAUCGAUCGACGUUGGCCGGAGCGAAGUCGACGAGAACGGAAGCACGAGGAAGACAGAGAUUAAUAAUAAUUUUUACUUGUAUUUAGUUCAUCGUUUUCAUAGAUUUUAUAGGGUCGCCCUUAUGUAAAUCGUGGUAUCAACCCUUUACAAUCAACCCACGAAGGGGUGUAACUGCCAUCAUGUAACCCAUUAAUAUUACUAAUAAUAUCUCCGGCUAUCGGAGCAGUUUCUUCCAAUAACCGUUGCCACCCUCUUCCCUAAUACCUCAGGGUUUGGGGUGUAAUUAACCUUGACUAAUUGUUAGCGAAUCUACUGCCCGUAUAUUCCACCUGGUACACGUUGUGUGCAGGCGGAACUCUUCGUGGUCGCUUGGGCAGAGGUCUGUUGAGGUCGCCGGCCGUAUCAGAGGAUGGCGCAUGUGCGUCGACUUCACGAACCUUAACAAGUCGUGUCCCAAAGAUAGCUACCCACUACCGUCGUUCGACAGGCUAGUGGACCAGAGCUCAGGCUGCGAAAUGCUGAGCUUCAUGGACGCGCAUUCGGGGUACAACCAGGUCCCCAUGGCUCAGGCAGAUGAGGAGAAGAUCUCAUUCAUCACCGACCUGGGCACAUUCUGUUUCAUGGUCAUGUCUUUCAGACUAAGGAACGCAGGAGCCACUUUCCAAAGGCUAAUGGAUAAAGUCUUCGAAGAACAGAUCGGUAGGAACGUAGAGGUGUACGUCGACGACAUCCUGGUCCGGUCGAAGAGGGCAGAAACGCACCUAGCCGAACUGGAAGAAACAUUCCGCAACAUCAGGAGGGCAGGCCUGAAGCUAAAAGCAAAGAAAUGUACGUUCGGAGUAAACGAGUGACAUUUCUUGGGGUUCAAAAUCACCCCAGAGGGUAUCAAGCCCAGAGAGGAAAAGAUGGAGGCCGUCAUAGGAAUGACUCCGCCAAGGACCAUAAAAGAGGUGCAAAAGUUGAACGGCAGGAUGGCAGCCCUCAGCCGAUUCCUACCAAGAGCGGUUGACAGGCUGCAUCCGUUUUUUCAGCUGCUGAAGUCACCCGGGCCGAGAAUGGUGUGGUCCAUCGACUGCGAGGCGGCAUUCGAGGAGCUAAAAAGGCAACUAGCGCACUUGUCAACGCUCUGCCCGCCCGUCAAGGGCGAACCGCUCACAAUGUAUGUCGCAUACUCGGACGCAGACGUCAGCGCGGUACUCCUGUCAGAGGAAGACAGAAUACAGAGGCCGGUGUACUAUUACUCCCGGUCGUUGCAAGGAGAGGUACCUGGACAUUGAGAAGCUAGCCCUAGCAGUGGCCUCGGUGGUUAGAAGACUGGAGCCGUACUUCCACGUCCACACGAUAACCAUCCCAACGGCUUACCCACUGCUUCAGCUCCUCCAGAAACCAGACGUCUCCAGAUGCCUCACAAAGUGGGCCAUGGAGCUCAGCGAGUUCCACAUAGAGAUUGUCCCGGCCAAGGCAAUAAAGGGACAGGUCGUAGCCGACUUAAAGGCCGAACUAACCCCCCGAAGGCAGACCCUGACGGAGGGGAAAUGGUGGACAACCCACGUCGACAGUUUUUCCAGCAACACGGGUUAUGGCACCAGAGUAGUAAUAAGGGCCCCGACAGGGGAAAAGAUCGAGUAUUCGAUACACUUCGGCUUCCGGGCGACCAACAACGUAGCCGAAUACGAGGCCCUCCUAGCCGGAAUAAGAUUGGCCGCAGCCCUCAGAGCGAAAAAAGUCCACCUCCACACGGACUCCCGGCUGGUGGCAAACCAAGUGAGGAGCGAAUUCGUGUCCAAAGAGGACUCGAUGUCGACCUACGUGGCGGAGGCCCGAACAGUCCUAGGCCGACUCAACGAAUGGAAAAUCACCUAGUUUGGGAGAGAGAGUGAUGAAGUACGAAAUCUGCUACCAGUAGGCUCGCGGGGUUGCGAGGAGGGCCGGAGGCUUUGGAGUCCAUGACGCGCGCUCUACGUCAAUGUACCUGCAGAAGUGGAGGGGAAUUGGCGACUCUCUUGGGAGUAGGCAAUUCGGGCUCCUUGGAUUGCUCUAGUGUGGUCAAGUGGAAAUGACUUGGGAGUAGAGGACCCCCAAGGACCCCUUUUAUAGGGUCCUGGGGGACGUUUCCCCAUUCAUUAGCGUGGGGCCCACCCCAUUAAGGUACCCUAUUGAAGGGUGCCUUAAUGACGUGGGCCCACUCAAGUAACGGCUGGGAGUCGGCGACUCAGGUAUGGGAGUCGCCGAUUCAGAGGUGUUGUCGCCGACUCCCCAUGAGCCAAGUUGGCAGUCUACCAGAACCGACCACGAGGCCUAGAGUCGGCGAUUCACCCCUGGAGUUGGCGACUUGGUAGUCCCAGUCGGCGAUUCCCAGGUGUUGCCUUGAGUACUUGACGUAGACACUUCCUCCGCAUUUGUGGAACUCUCCGGGGGUCCGACAUAAAGCGACGAAACCCUAGUCCUUGUUGAAGGGCGUUGCUGGGAGUGACUGACGUAAUCAGGCAUGUCUCACCAGUACUCCCCCCUGAAGAGAGCACAAGAAACAUACGUGUACCGCCAGUAUCCCCCCCAAGCAAGAUGAUCCGCAUCAAGGCCAAAACGACAAGAUGGGAUUGAGUCAUUGCGCUCACAGCGACACAAAUGACUCCGCGUGGUCUAUGCACUAUCAGAUAGACUGAUUCACUAUCAGAAUCUAGUUCCAGGCCAAUGAAACUACAUGUUUAUAGUCCUACUCUGAUCAAGAGCGAUUUUUGCUGUGUGGAUUAUGGCCGAAGCGACAGAAUGCAUGGAUUCACUAUUAGAAUCUGAUUCUGGCCCAAGCAAUAGAAUGCGUGGAUUCACUAUCAGAAUCGGGUUCUGGCCGACGCGACAGAAUGUGUGGAUUCUGGCCGAAGCGACAGAAUCUAGUUCACUAUCAGAACUGAUGUUUAUAGUCCACCCUGAUCAAGAGCGACUUUACAUCCGCAACGACGGUUACCCCAUAGGCCGAAGCGCAAGAUGGGUCGAGAUCAUUAAGGUCAAAACGACAAAAUGAUCUCCAAAUGUUUGAAAAACUAUUGAAGCCAAAGCGACAACAUAAUUUUUGGUCUGAUUCUGGCCGAAACGACAGAAUCAUGUCUGCAAAACAAAAAACAACCUGCAAAACAACUAUAUCAGUCGAAAGGAUAUAUUUAUUGAUUUACUAACCUUGCCAUGUGGAGCUGCCUCUUAUGCUCCUCCUCCUUAUGCUCAAUAACUCCUUGAUUGAUCUGGCCGAAGUGACAGAUCUAUCAUGCUAAAAAAUGUGACAGCUUCUGGCCGGAGCGACUGAAGUGCCGGGAGAACUUGUGAUACUCCCCUUGGAUUUUGACGACUUUUGUUCGAAGCGAGAGGAGUGUCAGGAAGAGCUUGUGAUGCUCCCCCCUUGAGAUCAUUAAGGCCGAAGCGUCAAAAUGACCUCUGGUUUAUCGAGGCCGAAGCGACGAGACAGACCGACUCAGUAUUAGAAUCUGACUCACUAUCAGAGUCUGGUUCACUAUUAGAACCUGGUUCACUAUUAGAACCCUUCCUGCAAAAAAGAAAACAUCCUGCAAAACAACUAGAUCAGUCCAAAAACGCAUAUUUGACUUAUUGAACUUACCGUGCGAUUUUACCUUCCCUGAUGCCUCUCCUUUGCUCAAAUUGAUCCUUGGUAAAUCUAACCGAAACGACAGAUCUUACCGUGCUCAAUUUUUGACGACUUCUGGCCGGAGCGACAUAAGUGUCGGGAGAGUUUCUGAUACUCCCCUCAAAAUUUGACUUCUGGCCGAAGCGACAUAAGUGUCGGGAGAGUUUCUGAUACUCCCCUCGAAAUUUGACGACUUCUGGCCGAAGCGACAUAAGUGUCGGGAGAGCUUGUGAUACUCCCCCAAAAUGUGACGACUUCUGGCCGAAGCGACAGAAGCGUCAGGAGUACUUGUGAUACUCUCUAUUGAAAUGUGACGACUUCUAUCCAAAUUGACAGAAGUGUCGGGAGAGUUUGUGAUACUCCCCCUCGAAAUGUGACGACUUCUAUACAAAUUGACAGAAGUGUCAGGAGAGUUUGUGAUACUCCCCCUCGAAAUGUGACGACUUCUAUCCAAAUUGAUAGAAGUAUCAGGAGAGUUUGUGAUACUCCCCCUCGAAAUGUGACGACUUCUAUCCAAAUUGAUAGAAGUAUCAGGAGAGUUUGUGAUACUCCCCCUCGAAAUGUGACAACUUCUAUCCAAAUUGACAGAAGUGUCGGGAGUGUUUGUGAUACUCCCUCUUUAAAAUCGUGUCGUUGUUUUUUGAAAUAUUUGAUUGUGAUUGUCAAUGGGCUAUCUUUUGUUUUUUCUUUGCUAAUCUUUUAUAUACAAAUUACCCUUUAAAUUAUAACUAAGGCCCGAAACUAGAUUCACAAGUCGUAAUUUAGCCACUCUGGACGUAAAUUAGACUCUACUAAUCCUAUUGCUAGCCACUCUGGGCGUAGACUUGGUCGUACGAAUCGUAGCUCAGCCUACGAUUAAAUUUGCGGAUAAUUUAUACCUCCAGAUUAACGUAGAGUAAAAGAUAGCGCGAGUGACAAAUCCGAAGGAUGCAAAUAUUUCAAACUCGAGGGUUACGUUUGUAAUUUCCAAUUACAACUUAAGUUUGAACCCUGAUGUUGGAGAGAGCUUGUGAUACUCUCUCUUGAAACAUGACGACUUCUGGCCGAAGCGACAGAAGUGUCGGGGGAAUUUAUGAUGCUCCCCCUCGAAUUUUGACGACUUCUGGCCGAGGCGACAGAAGUGUCGGGAGAACUUAUGAUGCUCCCCCUCUAAAACAUGCACUUGUGGCAUUUUUGCUGGUAUUUUACCCUUAGUCGGCGAUUGGAAGCCCCAAUCGGCGACACCUAUGGUUUGGGUAGCUGCAGGGGGUGUUUUGAUUUUUACCCCUGUGAGUCGGCGACUCCCUCCAGGGAUCGGCGAUUCCUAUUGUAACUGUCGGAUCUUUUUAGAAGAUCCUUGAGAUAUUUGGAGAAUAUAUGGGGAAUAUAUGCAAAAUCUCCAAUUAAUGAAGUAAAUCUCACAGUGCUGCGAGAUAGUGUCCGGAGUCGACGACUCUGGCAUGAUAUCGGGGAUACGGAGAUCAAUAUCCGAUAUCUUUUUUGCAAUUUUCGGAUUUUCUAGGGUUUUUUUGCAAUUUUCCCAGGGGCUAUAAAUAGUGGAGAGUUCUCCCCAAAUCUCACAACACUUUUCCCCUUCUCAAUCGCCUAAAACCCUAGAUUUUCCAAUCGCCGAUUCCUAAGUCACUUUUCCUUGAAUCGACGAUUCGACAGCUAUGUCUACCCCUGAUUCCAGCUUUUCUCCUCUGAAAGAGGCUGAAACCUCUGCCUUCAUCGAGGAGAUGACCGUUGAUUGACUUGACGAGGUGUUGAACACCGUCGAGUCGCCGAUUCCCUCUCCUGACAGAGUGGUUGAGUCGGCGACUCCGGUCGUUCCAACUCACGAUAUGGACUUGAGUGCCUCUGUGCACGAACUUUUUGGCGCCUUGUCGGAGUCGUCGAUUCCCCAUGCAGAGUCGGCGACCCUGAGCAGAGCCCUUGUGGUCGUGCCUGAGGGAUCUCUGGAACUGGAAGAAAUUCCCGGGACCUCUGAGUCGACGAUUCCCCUUGUGGCAUCGGCGACACAGAUUGGGCCCGUUAAGGGAAAAUCUUUCAGGAGAAGAGGUCAUGGCUCGAGUGCCAUUUGGUCGGCGACUGCAGGCCGUGACUCGACGAUCCUUCUCAUUGGAUCGGCGACUCAAGAGCCUGAGUCGGCGACUCCCAUGAAUGUUGAUGACUCUUCCGUGCACCACCUUGCUCCAUUGGUUGUGAGUGCCGAAGGUCGAAUUGUAUCGGGGCUGAACCCGAACCAGGGGCCAUCCGAGGGCGAUGGCUCGAAAAAACGAAAAAGAAGACGUAGCCACGACAGGGGCAAGGUCUACGUGCCGGAGCAGGAUGAGGGGGUCCCCGCGCCCCUCGAUGUUAAUUUUGAAGAGACCUUGCAUGUUGACCGUGGUGCUUGUAACCCACGCUGUAGAGCGAGCCGACGCUCUAUUGAAAGAACUCCGCCACCUCCCGUGGAUUUGGACGAAAAUCGAGAUCCGGACCUCGAUUUUGACGCGUAUGUUGGAGCUCCAAACCCAACUGGGUUCGCUCACUGCGAGAUUGCCUUAAAUGGCGAACCAAGGUUGCUCUCUAUAGGCCGCUCCGGGGACGGCGAAUACGAGCUAGUCACGACUUCCGCAACCUUGGAUGUUUCGGAUGGACUGCAUCCCCCUUCAAACCUUAAUGCGAGCGAUGCUCGAAGCUUGCUAUUGGGGGUGCAGAUUUCAGGACACGUGCGAUUCUGGAUAUCGCAAUACCAGCCUGCGAGUCUCCCACCAUUGGGAUUCCAGGCUAUCCCGAGGAUAUAUUUCAAACAUUUCUUGGAACUUCCUAUUCCUGAGAUAAUGAGCGAAAUAUUACUCGCUUUUGAAGUGUCCCUGUCGCAGCUCCCGGCGGGAUUCUUCGUGACCCUACGGGGUUUUAUGAACGUGUACUGGAGUUUGAGGAUCCCUCCUACUACAAGCUUGUUUCUGCAUUUCUACAAGCUUGUGAAAGAUGGAAAGUCGGGGUCUUGUCGCGUCGGGUUUACGCGACGGCAUUUUGACAAGAAUGUUGUCGACGAUUUGCCGACCAACUUCGGAUGCAACUGGAAGAUGGAGUUCUUCUUCAUUACUUCUGAGUUUCUUCCCGAGAGUCGGGAAGAAUGGAACGACCCCAACCAAGUGCACAUGAGUGCUUCGCUUGGGCUGACCACCAAAGAUAUUGAAGCCUUGGAUCGAAUGUCGCGGACCCUGGCUGCUUACUCUGUGCCGCGCGGUGUUCCCUUUGUCCUUUGCUAAAGGGAAGAUUUUACUUUUGAAGAUGUGGUUGAAGAUCAACAGAGAAAGAGCUUCAGAGCGGGAAAAAGCGAUCGCUUUUAUACUUUGACACCGUUCCUCUCUAUAUA